UCGUAGUAGACGCCGACGCGGUCGUUGGUGUUGCGCGCCGCCACCGUGGCCUGCAUGGUGGUGAAGAGGUAGGCGGAGGUGGGCGGGGUGACGUUGAGGCAGAGCACCGCCAGGUCCUGCAGGUAGAAGGUGGGCUUGUGGGGGCGGAGCACCAGGUAGACGAUGAGGAUGAUGAAGAGGGCGAGGAGGACGAGGGCGAGCAGCGCGCCGCAGCACUUGCGGUAGAGCCGGCGGCGGUGGCACUCGCAGCCGCCCUUGUGCCCGCCGCAGUCCUUCACCGCCAUGGAUUAUGGAUAUGGAUGGUGGUCGAGGGGGGAGCAGCAGCAGCGUGUAAUGGAUGGAUGGGUGCUGCAGCAAGAUGGAAGCAGGAAGCAGCUAGCAGCGAUGAAGCGAGGUGUGAGGCUGUGAUCGAUCUGUGGGAUGGGAGGAAGGUGGAGAAGAAAAGGCAGUUGGGCACGAGGUGGUAUAUAUACAUCUACCACGGCAGCGGCAGGAGGAAUUGGUGAUUGGUGUGGGGUUAGGAGGAGGAGGGGAUCAGCAUUGGUCAGUGUGAGGAGGAGUACUGACAAGUUGGGUGUUGUCGGCUUGGAGCAGCUGGUACAUACAACCUGCAAGUGGGCCUUGGUGAGCAGUCUCUUGCUGAAGAAGCACUGUUAAUUAGAAGUAGUGGAAUUGUAAGCCUGAUAAAACAUAAAUGAGAGGUGGUUAAUGGUGAUGAAAAAUGGAGCAGUGUGGGUGAGACGGCGAGUGCCAUGCUAGGUUCCGAAAGCAGCAAUGAAUAAUAGGCCGGGUUCAGACAGGGGAUCGAGUCAUCGAGAUGAGAAACGAAAAGAUGACACUUUUCUUUUCUAGUGAUGAUUAAUAGGCCGGGUUCAGACAGGGGACGCCUUUAGUUCCUCACAUAGUAUGUUACAAACAAAACUUUAUCAGUUCAGAUGCACCGCCAGUCGCUUGUAAACGCGUUUUGUGUCAGUCGCGUGAAAACAGCCGGAGGGAAGAAGAAGCUCGUCGGAGAAAGCCCUCUAGGUGUCUUAAGAUGGCAGGCACCUCCGUUGUCUAUCUUAAGGGUGCGGGGUGCAUGAUGCAAGCUCGUUGAAAAAUAAAAUGACCAUCGUCGAGGCGAGAGGGAUGGUCGGGGUGGCGGCAGCACGUACGACGGUGAGAGGCGGUUGAGGGGCUGGCGCAGGAGCCGAGCGCCCCAACUGCGGGUAGUGGUGGGUGGAGGGUGGGGCGUCCACAUCAAUCAAAUGGGAUGAAGCCAACACAAUCCCAACGGAAAGCUAAAGUGCAAGAAUAACAAGGAGGAGGAGAAGAAGAAUCGUAGCACGAACACGGGUCCGCGUCACCUUCGUUCCGUGUGCACGCAGCUGCAGCCAGCCAGCCCCACUCUCUUCUCCAUCUUCAUCACAAGAAAAAAAUGCGACGUACGCAACGCGGCACAGCACAUGCAUAGCAUGGUCCGAUCGAUCGAGCUACACCACCAUGGUCCACGGCCAAGAUCGACAUGCGUGCAUGCAUGCAUGCAUAUCGUCAGUACCACGUACCACGACGCGUCUAGCCUAGGAUAUGUUGCCAGAUCUGUCCUACGAGUUAAUUCCUCGUGUCGGACUAUUUCUAAUCUGAUACUCCUGCGUUAAGCUUAUAAAGAUUCCACUAACAGAUUACGUACGAAGCAAAAUAAAUGAAUCUAUAUUUUAAUAUAUGAUUAUGUACAUCCGUAUGUAAUUUGCUAAUGAAAACUUUAAAAGAAUUAUAUUUACAAACGGGUGAAGUAGAUCGAUCGAUCGUCCUAGUAGUACGAUUAGGAUAUAUCAACAUCAGUUCAUAAUCACCAUGCAAAUUUAUUUCCAAUCGUAUAUCACCGUGGUGAGAAAGCGGAGCAACAUACAGUAGUAUCGUUCAGAGCCGGCCGCGAGUUAUACUUAUUCCAUCUCUUCAUAUGCAUGCAUGUGCGAUCAUCAAAACAAUCGAGAGGAGGAGGACGACGACGAUACGCUAUAUAUGUAGGUACGUACGUCCGUCAGCCGAAUUCACGGACCAGAUCCAUUGGAAGGACGCGCAAAAGGUGUGGGGGUGGAGGGACGCGGUCACACGGAAUCGGAAGCUUCUCCUCUUUACACGUUUGUGCAUGCGAGUCGUCCGUCGCUCGUGCCAAAACAAGGGCACAUAUGCAAUGCCAGCUACUUGCAUGGUUCGAUUAGAAUACUCCUUAGAGCAUCUCCAACAGCGGCGCAAAAAGGCGUGCGCGCUAAACCGGUAUUUUACCGCGCGCGGGACAUAAUUGCGCGCUCCAGCGGCGACGGGAAAACCGCGCGCGCGGGAACCGCUAGCGCGCGCGCCAUUUUUCCGGCGCCGCGUCCCGCGCGUCCAUAAAAGGUAGCGCGCUGCCCUGCCUCUCGCGCCGCGUUCUCUCUCCCUCUGCCUCUCGCGCCGCCGCCGCGUUCUCUCUCCCUCUGCCUCUCGCGCCGCGCUCUCUCUGCCUCUCGCGCCAUCAUGCCGUCGCGCCGCCGUUCUGCAUCGGGCUACCGCGGCGUCCGCCAGCGCCCCAACAGCGGGUUCUACGCCGAGAUACGCUCCGGCGAUCUCCGGCUGAGCCUCGGCACCUACGACACGGCGCACGAGGCCGCCCGCGCGUUCGACGCGGCGACGUGGCGCCUAGGCAGGCAGCGCCUCCAGAUGAAUUUUCCGGACGUCCGCACGCUCCAGCAGGCGUUAGACCUGGCCCCGCCGCCUCGUCUAAACUCCGCACAAGACCGUGCGGAGCACACUGCGCUGCAGCGCCGUCUCCUCGUCGCCCAGGAGGACGAGCGGGUGAUGGCGGAGUGACGCCUACGCCACCCGGAGGACGUCGCCUACGAGCAGGAAUAUUGGGAACGACGCCGCGAGGAGGACACGCGCCGGCGCCGCGAGGAGCGCUUGGACAGGCCGACCUCGUCAAUGCAGGCGGAAGGUCCUUCUUCACUGAAGAAGAUGAGCGUUGGUUUGACAUCUGGCUGUCAACCUCUGACGACACCAACGACGAUGAUGAUGGUGCAGAUGACUGGAGCGAUUAGGAGUUUUUUUGUUUUCGAAUUAUCUAGCACCGAAUUAUCUAUCUAUGUUUUCAAACUACCUAUCUAGUUGCAAUAUAUGUAAAAUAACUUUAUAUCGUUUUUAUUUUAAUGGAAUCUACUUUACGAAAUGUUGUGCGCGCGUUGUAUUUUUUGGCACUGCUGGAGCGGCGCGCGCGCUGCAUUAUAGCGCGGUUGUUGGAGCCAGCGCCUAUCCCUGCGUUAAAUCAGCCGGCGCGCGUGCUGUAAAUAUAUUUUUUAAGCGCGGCGUGAAGCGCGGCUAUUGGAGAUGCUCCUCGCUACCUAGAAGCGGCUAGAGGCACCGGUCAUGGUUGUUGGCAGAUGCAUGGUCGACUAGUCCAAGUUUGAGGACAACUCAGAGAGAGAAACAGAGAAGGAAGCUAGCCAGCCCAGCCAUGUUAAUCAAGGACGGACGUCUCCUGAUUCCUACCGCCAUUAUAUUCAGCCGGCUCCAUGCGGAAGCACAUGCAACGAUGCAAAAUAGCGCAAGCAGAGCAGGCCAGCAGCCACAUAUGUACACGGAAUGCACAAGCAAUCAUCAAAGAUAUAGGUUGCCUAGAAAAAACAUCAUAUUUUUUUAGGGGUUUACAAAAUAAAUAAAAACAUCGAUCCUGUGUUGGACGUUUUACAACGGACUAAUCCGUACAGAAUAGGGGCCGGCAAAGUUGGUGCAGCAACCGUGCAUGUGAGCCUAUGACUGACUCAUGUUCGGUCUCAUCGCAUGAUGAUGGCCCAACCGAUCGGUCACGUGGAUGGAAAUGAAAUACAAUAUAUAGCUUUUGGUUAAACUUGCAAAAGAGCCCGUGCAUUGUAUUGUAAGAGAAAAUAACACACGCUCUGAACGUAAUAUAUUUUCACAUGGCAUCAUAUUUGUGUUGUCGACGAUGGCUUUAGUGCUCACACAAUGAAAGCGUGUUUGAAUAUACAGUCAUUCGGAAUAAGAUGAGAAAUAUGUUGUUUCUUCCCGCGAGGUUUUCCAAAGGUGUGCAUGUGUUGUUAAUGAUGUUUUCUUUUCUCUUAAUUUGGUUUUAGUUUAAUGGAUGUUUAUUGCAAUUCAUAUCGUCGCCGGAAAGAGAGAGAAAAAAAGAACCGUACACUACAAAUUAAGUUUGCACCAAAUAUAAUAUUUAAGAACUAUUCAACACCUAAAAAUAACAUCCUAUUUAGAUUCUAUACAUUUUUUAAUCAAAUUUCAUAUAUAACAUAUUAAAAUCGGAGUUAUGGUUUAAAAGAUAUGGAUAAUUUUAUUUUACGUAAAAUGUGGAUUGAUUAACUGAAAAAUUAAGGUUUUUUUGUUAAAAUACGGAGGGCGGGUUGAUUACCUGAAACAUCAGGUUUUUUGGAAAAAUGCAAAAAAAGAUUCAUUUUCGAACUUAAAUCCGGACUGCAGGUUGAUUACCUGAAACAUCAUAGGGUUUUUUGGAAAAUGCAAAAAAAGUUUCGUUUUUGGACUCAAAAACGGACUGCGGAUUGAAUACUGAAAAAGCGAGGGAUGUUUUUGCAAAAUGACCACGACGGCCGACAGAAGCGUUGCGUGCUUUAUUAUUAGGGAGAGAAGAGUGCAUGGUGUUCCGCCGACGGUCCUCCUCGACACCAUAGCGAGGCAGAGCAUGCCAGCAGCCACAUAUGUACACGGAAUGCACAAGCAAGCAAUGGCGGAGCGUUCUGGGGACAAUUCCGGGCUGGCCCGAGUGCGGACUUUUGGUGCUCGAUCAUCAUGGUGGGGGGUAUUUUUAAAAUAUCAAAAGGCCCAUUCAAAAGUUAAAAAAAGGAAAUCAAAAGAAAAUCAUGGAAACAUAUAUGUGUUCCGCAUGAACGUAUGAAAAUUUGAUUGAAAAAGUUGUGAUUUAUAGGCUGUACAAAAAAACCAAUUUCCGGCCCCAUAACAUAAUAUCCUGGCCCAUUUCAAAAUACGUUUUUUUUCUCUUUGUGUGUAUGCCACGUAUGAAAACAUGAUGUUAUGAAAUUUGCAUAUACGCCAUAUACAUGUGUAUGUGUGUUCAUAAGAAAAAAUAAAAUAAAAAUCACAUUGUGGAAAAUUGUGUUUUGAAACCGUCCACCAUGGUGAUCGGUCACCAUUGGCAUUUUUGGGCCUUGCCUCCCCCCCCCUUCCUAGAAGAAAUUAUGCUAAAUAAGGAUAUGCUUCACUAAUCGCUCUACUAAUCCUUCAACCUCUCCGAUCAUCCUAGCCUUUUCUAUGUAAUAUUCACUUAUUUGCCCCUCCUUAUAUUUGGUUUACGCUUCGUCACUGCAAGCAAGCACCAUAUAUUGGAGCUUCACAUGGUAUUCCAUUAGAAGAGUGCUCAAGAUAUAGGAAACUAGAGAAAAAAGAGGUUUGGACGAACUAAGAGGAGAAGAAAAAAAAAUCAAAAACUCGAGCUCGAGAAACAAACCGAAGGCCUCCUCGCCAAUAUGAAAGGAGGCCAAGCUUUGGUAACCGUGGGUGCUAGAAAAUUGGGCCAUCUAAUGCAUGCCCCGAGAAUAGAUGAUCGCUUUUAUCUUGGGUGUUGCUGCGUUCUUUGUGUUGUAACAUUAAUUAAAUCUCUAUUAAUCUUCUAUUUAAUGAGUGGUGAAAAUCUUUUGCCUCUUUUUUAGAAAAAAUAAUAUAGAAAGGGAAUGCAAACCAAUACGUUUUAGGAGAAGGAAACUUUUUAUUUAAUACAGACAAUAAAAACGAUAUGUUAGCCGAUAUAAAGGACCUUGCAUGACACGAAAGACAUGCAACCCAUCGCAUCGACAAGCAAUCGUUGAUGAGAACCACCCACAACGGAAAGAACUUCACUGUAGUAAGAACCCAUCAAAGUUGACACGAGAACUCCACCGUGUGAAUCCACCUCGACAUUUUGAAGCAACUUGAACCAUCCAAGUUGACCGGGAUAUAACAAUAAUGAAUGAAACCUUAGCUGCAAUGGCAAAGUACUUGGAUCAGCGAGAAUUAUGUCGAUGAAGAAGAAAACUACCGCUCGCUGUCAUCACGAAUGGAGAAGAACAGUGUUUGCCUUGCAAAAGAACCAUCACGUCAAAUGAUCGAAAUGAAGAUUCGACUCAAAAAGACACCGCUCCCCCCCCCACCAGUGCCAAACAACUCACUGCCUAAACUACCUCCUAGCCGGACGACUUAUUCAACUAUCUCCUCUAGAUAUCAAAACCUAUAGAUUUACGCCACUCGGUCCUAGAUAUAUAAUCCCCCAUGGUCACACGACACCAUAGAGGGGCAGUAAUGCUACACGUAUGGAGUUUUUACAAAAGAUUUACACAUUGCUUAUCACUGAUUGGUCGGGAAUUGAUUAAGGCACACGGGCUCACCGCUGAAAUUCAGGGGGGGGGGGGGCAAUUAAAAGAGCUUACAGUACCCAGCCCGUAAAAUCCUGUAGAAUUUGUCCGUAUGUUAAGCAUUCUUGCCAUACAGGGAGAGGAAGAACCAAAACGCUAAUCGUUGCAACUCUCAACUACCUCUCUCGGUGUGUUAAAAAAAACCACCUCUCUCAGUCCAGAACCAGAACCUUUGUUUCUCAUGAGAAACUAGUGUACUUUUGUUUUCUAAUUAACAUCGUAUUUUUAUAGGAGCUUAGUUUUUGUUGAACCAUAAUUCUUACAUGGGUUUGCACAGUUACAUGUCCAUAUAAGGGCCCAAGCUACUCAGUGGCCUACGGGGCCACAUCAAAGCAUUUAUAUCUCGUAAAUUCCAGUCUGAUUGUUCUCUUUAUUGGCCUAUUCUACUGAACUUCUCAUCAAUAAUUGCAUUUAGAUUGGGCUUAACAGCCCAUUCAUACCGUGCGAGAUAUGUCUCGCUUACUGCAAGACGUAGCUCUGAAUCGCCUUUAGUGCGCCGUUGUACUGGGCUGACACAUUACAAUACUUGCUGCACUAUGUUUUUUCUCUGUGUGGUUUUCUUAUUGGUCUUUCAAUAUUUUCAUCAGGUUUCUUCUUUUUUCCUUUUUUUGUUCCCUACUUUCUUCGGUUUUACCGGGUUUCUUCGGUUUGUUUCCUUUUCCCUUUUGGUUUAAUUUUGUAAACACAUGUGUACAUUUUUAAUACACAUUGUACAUUUUUCAUAUACAUUGGGAAUAUAUUUAUACACGUUAUCAUUUUAAAAUACAUAUUUAACCAUUUUUUAAAAUAUAUCUUUGGUUUCUAAGUUUUUUAAUGAUACAAAACAUUUUUUUAAACUACACGAACAUUUUGAAAUGAUCCAAAGUAUUUUUUUUUGAAUUAAAGAAACUUAUUUUACAUUGUAUAAAAAAUUUAAAGUGUUGCAUACCUUUUUUGAAACAUGUGCACAUUUUGUAAAUUUCACUUUUUUAAGCUACUAGCAGUUUGAUAAAAUUAUUAAUCCCUACCCAAAUUAAUUGGCAAUGCCUUAGUACAUUUUCAAUCGGAGUGAGUAACCAAUUUAUUACACUGUAUUGUAAUUUCCCAAAAACAUUACUUUUAAAAUUAUUUUGAUUAUAUUUAAGGUUUGGAAAAUAAAUAUUUACAAUAUUCCGAAAAUAUGAAGUAAAUAAAAGAAAAUCAAGCGAAAACACAGAGGAGGAAAACGAGUUGACCUUCAUGGAGCUACUGGGAUGAUCCAUUAGUGGUGAUGCUGAAGCGUGAAAAGCUCGUGUCUCAGUCCGGGCGAGACACAGCCGCUCCCCAUUUCUAAAAUCAAGAGCAUUCUUUCUCUGCCUUGGACCAUGUGUACUCUCUAACUUUGUUGAAGCCCCGGCCCGUCAAAAGUAAGCAGUCGUCGCAUCUACAUAAAAAAAAGGCAAAUUGUCUUCUCGAGCCAUUUUUAUGCGACCUGGGUCACACAUAGGGCUGCAAGAAGAGCUCAAGGUUCGUGAGCUGGUUGAGUUUGAUUCGUCUUUUGGCUCGACUCGAGAUUGAAAGAAAUGAGCUGCGCAUGAACACUUUAUAUGGCUCGAUUGACAAACGAGCCGAUCUUGAGCUAAUAUUGGCUCGAGUGAUUUUAGCUUGAUAGAUCGAGGUAAUAUAACUAUGUUAAAUGAUCAUGCUAUAUAUUAAAUGGAAAUAAAAUAUUUUAUAACCAUAUAUGAUGUUUUGGAAAAAAAAAUUAUCAGCAAACAUGAAAGUUUAAUUAAGUGCAGAGAAAAUUUAGGCAAUACUAUGGUACAUGAUCAGCUAGGCAUGAAUAUCCUAUUGUUUUUGUCAAAAGUUUCCCAGCAUAUUCACCUUCAUUUUAUGUCUUUCAUCCUAGAUGAGCUCUCCUAAGCACGACGAGAUGGCCGUACCAUCGAUCCAAGUAAGCUUUUUUUACACAUUCACGUCAUCUAAUUAGUAUUAUAGUUUAUAAAUAAAUGAAUGCUAUCUGAAUACGUUUUCUUUUCAAGAUUUGUGUUAUAGUAGGCUGUUUACGUGUAAAAUACUCUUGGACCAGGUGCAAGUUGUAUCUACGAGAUUCUUUCUUGGUUUUACUCUAAGUAAUUUUGUGGUUUUGCAGUUAGCGCAGAUUGAGGUUUGUUCAUUUCAACAUAAUUUUUUAACCAUAAUGUCAUGUUUGAAAUGAUAAACCUAUGUCUACAGAAUCAAGGAUUCAGAUUUAGUGCAUCCUAUAUAUGUGAUUCAGAUUACUAACAUGUUUUUUCAUAGAUAUUUAGUCUUACAUGUAUCACUUUCGAAACGUUUUCCUGUAGAUUCAGAGUGGUAUUAACAGGAACAACUUAUCACUGAUACUUUUCACCUUAAUAGUCAUUCACAAAUGCCUAAUACCUCUGAAUCUCAGAUCCUUUGUAUAAAUUUAUAUUAUCAUCAUCUUGAUUGAAAUAACAUUUUUUAGUGCUUUCUUAUGUCAUAUCUUAGAUUAUAUAUUUUUUGCCGUCUCAUUUAGCUUGAAACUAGCUCGAGAUCAACUCAAGAUCGUUACAAGCUGAGUAAGUUUUACAGAUCGGUCUUGAGUUUCACUCAAUUCGAGUUUGCUUGCAUUUUAAUAUGAGUUGAGCCGAGCCAAGUCCAACACGCUCGAAAUCGACUCAUUUGCAGCCCUACUCACACGCAGCGAUGGCGGGGAGCUCCUAUUGGACGACACUCUUUGCCUCACGGUGUCCAAGUUUCCCACAGAGCUAGCGAUCGAGAGCUUCUGGUGGGCCGGCACGUAAACACAUAGGAGCGCUUCUGGUUUUAGGAACCUUCCAUACAUUUUCCACCCGGUUUUACUUAGUUUCCUGAAUCGGGUUUUUUCUUUUCUUUUUCUGUUAUUUUUUUCGUUUUUCUUUUUCUGUUUAUGUUUUUUCUUUUUUUCCUUUCAAUGUUUUCCCUAUCUGUUCUGUUCGAAAAUUUCAAAUAUUUUUUGAAAGUUUUAAAUAUAUUUCUCGCCCUAAAUUUUUAUUCACAAUUUUUAAGAUAUUAAGGCUUGAAAAUACCUGCAGGAAUUUCAAAACUAAUUCUAGUUUUCAUAAUUUUUUCAAAAUUUCUAAAAAUGUUCUCAUUUUUAAGUUGUGUAGAUAAUUUUCAAAAUUGAUCGUGUUUCAGAAAAUUUCGACACUUUUAGAAACAAUUCCUGUUUUCAAAUUGUUUCACAAUUCCAGGAAAAUGUUCGUGUUUCAAAAAAAUGUUCAUGUCUAAAACAUGUUCAGGAACUUUCGUAAAUUUUAAAAAAAUGAAGUUGAAAACUGUUUGGAACAUUGUUUGUCUUUCCUAAAAAAUUUCGCGUUCACAAAAUGGUUGGAAUGUUUUUUAUAAAUUUCACCAUUUUAUUUAAAAUUGUUCAUAUUUUCAAAAAAUUGUUCAUAUUUUCAUUUUUCAGGAACUUUGAAUAUGCUAAAUGUUUUCUGAUCAAGUGAAAAUUUCACAGAACUCCAAUUUACGAGCAAAGUUUGAUAACGGGAACAUUUUGUAAAAGCAAAAACAUUUUACGAAAUUUAAGAACUGUUUUCCAACAUGAACUUAUUUUAAAGAUAGAACAAAUUUUGAUAUUUCAAACAUUUUUCUAAAAUUGCAAACAAUUUCCGUAAAACUUGAACACAAUUUUGAACUUUGACGGUAUUUUGAAAAGCUAAACAAAUUUUAACAAUUUCCAAUAAAUUCGGGAAUUUUAGAUCAAUUUUCAAAUAUGUUGAACAAUUUUCAUUUUUUUGGAGUUUUUCCUACAAAAAUAAAAUAAAAAAUUCAAAAUUUGUGAAAAUUCCUGAAAUUCUGUUGAAUUAGUGAAAACAUGGCUUUAUUUAUUCGUGAACAUAUUUGCAAAGUGAAAACAGAACAUUUUUAAAAUAUUUGAACAAUAAUUCAAAGGCAUACAUUUGUUUAGAUCCCAGAAAGAUUUUGUUAUUUUGAGAAUAAAUUUUCAAAACAUGAACAUUUUUUGAAUUCGCAAACGAAUUUGAAAAGUGGGUAGAUCUUUUGAAAUUCCCAAACAUUUUCUGAAUUUAUGAACAAAAAUUAAAAUGCAAACAUUUUUUAAAUUUGAAAUUCUAAAUUUUUUGAAUUUUCCAAUAGUUCUUCUAUGUUAGAAAAGAUGUAUUUCAAAUUCUAAUUUCUUUGGAAAAUUUUUACAAUAUUUCAAAACGGGAAUACUUUCAAAAAAAUGAACAAAGUUCUUAAAUUGCCAACAUUUUUUAGAAAUUCUAAAGAUUUGUUGAAAAAUAAAAGUGAAAAUGAAAUUUACAAGGAAGGCAAAGAAAAACGAAACAACAAAAAUAAAAGUGAAAAAGUAAAGAAAACGAAAAAGGAUAGAAAAGAAAAAAGAGAAAUAAACAUAAAAAGAGAUAAAAACCGGCUCGCUGGAACUGGGCUGGCCCAUCUAUCAUAGUUACCAUCCUGGUCCUAUGCGAAUCGCCGACAACUCGUCGCAACAAGCAGCGAAAAGGGUUUUUCAUGAUUAUAAAAACCGCUCCAUGGGAAACCACAUGCAACGAUGCAAAUAUAUAGCUCUAUUAAUCAGAACCAGCAGCUACUACAUGGAAUGCACAACCAAGCAUCAUGAUAGACGUUUUCAAACUGACUAAUAAUAUACACCCUCCGUCUCGUAAUAUAAGAGCAUUUUUUACACUACACUGGUAUAAAAAUUGUUCUUAUAUUAUGGGACAUCUAUACUCCUAUAUAGUGUACCAGUACUGGGAGAUGUAGACCGUUGGAUCUUUGUAAUCUAACGGCUCGCCGUCAAUUGAUUAACAUAGAGGGCUGCGUGGCCAUACAUCGACAGUUGGAUAGACUAAUCUAACGGCUGACAGUGCAGGGAUUCGCGGUGUGGCACAUCCUUUGCUUCCAGACUACCACCAUUUGUGUGUGACAAAGCUACAUGAAAGUUCAUGAUACUGCCACUGCCACCUAGAAAUCUUUGGUAGGCUCCAGUAAGAAUGCUGCACUGCUGCCCUACAUGCUACAAUACUACUACUAGCAAGCUAUUCCACCAGGACCAAGUACUCCGAGAGUACUACAACUGCUACACGUGAUGAGAGAUGGGGAAAAGUGCAUGCAGCACUGCAGUCUUAGCGAUGCAGAAAUUAGUAAAUCAUCAGAUGCUUAAUACUACCUAUUCAUUAGCUUAUUUUUUCAUCUAACAAAGUCCAUACACGUGCACACGUACAAUUCAUAGGUUUGUCUGGUUAUGGAUAACAAACACAAGGAAAAAUAAAAGUUUAAUAUCUCACGUGAAAAAAAGAUAGUUAAGCGUAAUAUGUGUUGUAAUUAAAGGCUAUUACUUUAUUUUAUUAUAAAUUCGUUUUACAAAUAUGAUCCAGGUUUUUUCAUUGUUUCAACCAGUAAUCGUUAAAUCCACGUGCUACUAAUAGUGAGUAAUAGACAAGUUAAUUGGAAGAUCCGUAAAGAAUAGGAGCCAACAAUAUAUUUUUUCGAACAUCGGGGACUUUCUCUUUAAUUAAUAACCAUAUCUUUUAUAAUAAGUGGAAUCAUGAAAUCAGGGGUUUAUCAUGCCGCACCCUUGACUCCUGACCCAAAAAACUAAAACAAGCAAUAGCAUACGCACACUCGUUUACAUCAUGCACACAACGAUUUAUUGACGCCUUGCCAAAAGAACAUGUGAAACUUCAACAAUCAUCAGUAAUUACCGCACCUAACGCUCGAUAGUCGUCCAACAACCAUGCAUGUGAGCAUGUAACACCUGUUCGGGCUAAUUGCACGGUGAUGGCUGCGAACCGAUCAUGUGGACUAGCAAGAGAAUGUAAAGUAGGAAUUUCAUUAGUCAAGGAAACUACAACUAUUUGAAAUGACACAGAAACCUUUUUCGGGAACAUAAGAAAAUGCCUUGUUUAGAUAGAACAGUACAACUAUAAUUUUACAAAAAGAAUCUUGCAAGAUAGAAAAAACACAACCCCUUACUCCAACAAGUUGUUGUCAUCGAGCCUGCAUCGUAAAGAACGCCGUCCCAAUAAGGAAUCAUCAACGCUGCCAUGAAGACUCGACCAAGGGAUCCUCCUCGAGGAUACUAAAGCCUCUUGACCCAUAUGAUGAUAGUGCCAUAGCCCAUGGAUUAUCUUCCAGCGCACCCGCCAGAUUGCCCAUAGGGUAUCAACUAUUUUCGUGAAACCAACAUGCACUAGAUUCUCCAUCACUCGAAAUAACCAAAGCUUCAGAUCGUUCAUCUCAUCUACCACCAUAUGAUCCAAUAUCUCCUCAUCAAAAAAAGCUUACCACAACAUGACAUAGUGCAAUUCAACAACAAAUGACAUCGUGAAUUACCGACCGCCUAAUACACAAAGAUUAUUCAUCUCAUCUACCGACUGCCUAACACAUAAAGAUUAUUAAGCCACCCCUGCUAGUGACGAACAUUUGCUACUGGGGAUGAUGAUCUUGUGAGUCUUUAAAGCUUGACAUUUUUUGAGAAUAGCCUGUAACUUUACUCUCAAGCUCGACAAAAGUUACACAUACAAUGCUUCGGCUCAUUGAUCCGAGAACUUACAAAGUAAUUCCUAUAAUUAAGGACUACAAUGAAAUUUAUCAGAUGCGUCUUCCAUGUGUAUCAUUUUUUGCUGCACAAAAUACUAUCAGGGCUUCUGUAAAGAUAAUGCAGUCAAAUCAAAGCAGCGACACUGCCACUCGUACACAUGUGCGAGAAUUGACUACCUUCAUAGGUUUCAAAACUGCCCAUUGAAAAGGUUGGAAGCCAUGAUCGUUGAAUGUAUUUCGGACGUGGAUGGUCCACUAGAGGUACAGGUUGUCGACCCAUAAUAUCUUUAAAAGAACGUCAAAGAAGGACUUGAAAGUCUCAAAAAUUACACCAAGAGAAGCACCAGAAAACAUAAAAUCCGCAUGGUCAAAUCCACAUGGUCAAAUAAACCAAGCCCGCACAGACACAAACUAUCCGGCUUCAUGGCGCCUUUCGAUAACACUGCACCACAACGGGAGAAAAUUCAUAUUAGCUUUAUUCUUUACGGCAUUGCACCCUCCACCAGGACAUUGUCGACGAAGGCCAUAGAAAUCGCCGUUUUUUUGAAUAAACUCAGAAAGAUCCAAUACCCCCCUUGCCACGCAACACGAUGGCCGAAGGCGAAGGGGACACACAAAGUCCGUGGUGGUUGCCUCCUAAAACCCUAGCUUCUCAUGUGACUAGGUCUCUUUUAAAGCUUGGCAUUUAUGAGCUUAGUUCGUGUUGAGCCAUACUUCUUACUUGGGUUGUUGGCUACUACAUGUGCUAUGUCUUGCCAACCCUGAGAGGAUAUAGCGCUCGAUACUAGUAGUGGUAUCAUUCAUCUGUUUUUGAGUUGUUUUAAGAUACUUCCUGUCUAGUGGGGCCAAUGUUUGAACCCUUCGUCCUGUUUUGGAAGGGUUCUAUUUCAAGUAUUUUUUUUUCCUUUUAAUUUACAGUUCUAUCGGUUUUCUUUAGAGUUUUCGUUUGCUUUCUUCUAUUUUAAAUAUUUAUUUUACUUUAUAAGUACAUGAUCUUUUUAAAAUUCUUUUACAUGUUACGAAGAUUUCACAAUCAUUGUGUGAAUAUAUUUUUACAUGUUUAUGAAAAUUCCUAAAAUGUUAUAAAAAACAUUUUGAAUGGCACAAUUUUCUUAAUGUUGCCUGAAAAACAAAUCAUUAAUUAUAGAAAUGCUAUGAACUUUGUGAAAAAAUCAUAAACAUAUUUUUAGAUGUUAUGAGCAUUUGUUUGGAGUGGUAUAUUAUUUUUCAGAAAUACACGAUGAAGAUCAUGAAAAAUGAUAAAAAAUAAAAUAGAUAAUAAACAUUUUGAAUAGAUGGCGGAUCCUUGUAAGCAUGACAAGAUUUUUUCAUAUACACAAUGAACAUUUUCUAACAAACAUUGGAUUAUUUCUUAACGUGGGGUCAACAAAUUGAAUGUGUGUCAAAAGAAUAAUAAAAGUAAGUAAAAUAGCAUAUUUUCCAAUAAUAUUUGUCUCUAUGUUUCAUAAAAGAGAGGAAAAAUGGAAACACAAGGUGUGAAAAGAAUGAAGGAAAAAAAUUCUUCUUCUUAUUAUUNNNNNNNNNNUAUUAUUGAUUACGGAAACCAAACAUGCAUAUAUCCACUAGCUUUUUUUUUUGAGGGGUGCAUAUAUCCACUAGCUAAAUGCAGCCUGGCUCAACUAGAAGACCACUGCAGCCGAUGCCUUUCUACCAUGAGCCUGGCCCAUGCCCCUGACCUUCACAUUAGCAUUUACAUUGUGCUUUCUGGCCUAUUCUGCAAAAACCCUAUUCGCGGCUCUCUGCGACAAAUUAUCGAGCGACACCAGCGACUAAAUGGCAAGGGGCCGUUGCACGUUUCACUGAUCCCGGUUUCGGCAGCUUUCUAGAAGGUUCCCAACCGUUUCAGGUCUGGUUUUCCUUUUUAUUUUUUCCUGCUGUUUCUUUUAUUGUUUUCUUCGAUUUUUCGUUCCCUUUAUUAUUAUUAUUUUCUGUUAUUUGGUUAUAUGUUUCAUCUCUGGAUACCUUUUUUUCGUUACCAAUUUUGAGAAUGUUUUUUACAUGGUCAGAAUUUCAAAUUGUUUAGGAAUUUCUAAUUUUGUUAACGUUUUGAAAAAAUAAUUAAAUUUUCAUAUUUUGUUCCCUUCUAUUCAAAAAAUGUUCGGAUAUUUGAAAUUAAGUUCGUGUUCUGAAAACAAAUGUUAAUUUUUCAUAUUUUGUCACCUUCUAUUCAUGAAUGUUUGAGAAUUUCAAUUUUUUCACAUUCUAAGAAUUGUUCAAAUUUUGUUCUCUUGUAUUCAAAAAAUGUUCAGAUUUUUCAAAUUUUGUUCGUGUGUUGGAUUUUAUAAAUUUUGUUCCCUUAUAUUAAAAUUGUUUUCGGAAUUGAAAAUCUUGCUCAUGUUUCGAAAAAUGUUAAAUUAUUCUUAACUUCUAUUAAAAAUAUGCUUGAAGAUUUCAAUUUUUUUGUGUGUUUUGUAAACUUGUUCAAAAUUUCAAUUUUUGUUCCUUUAUAUUCCAAAAAUAUUUGGGAGUUUCAAAUUUUGUUUGUGUUUAUAAAAGGUGUUACUAAUUUUAGAAAAAAUGUUUUUCAAAAAAUGUUUGGGAUUUCAAAUUUUUUCACGCUUUUAGAAAAGUUCCCAAUUUUGAAAAUUAAUCAUUUUUCCAGAAAAAUCAGGUAUUCCAACUUUUAUUCGGUUUCUGAAAAUGUUCAGAAUUUUGAAAAUUAUUCACUUUUUCCAAAAAAUGUUCAGGAUUUUCAAGUUAUAUUCUCCUUUAAAGAAAAUUUACAGAAUUUAAAAAAUUGUUCACUCUUUUAAAAUAUGUUCAAAUACUCAAAAGUUGUUUAGUUCGUAUAAUUGUUCACUAGUUUCAAGAACAUUUGACAUUUUAAAAUUUGCUCACUUUUUACAGAAAAUGUUCAAAACAUUUCAAAAAGUUGUUGAAUUUUUUUUAAAAACAAGUUUAUAAAUUUGUUAUCGUUUCUCAAAAAUGUUCUCCAAUUUAAAAUAUGUUCGUGGUUCCAAUUUUUUGUUCAAAAUUUGAUCAAAAGUUCUAUUUUCCAGCUUUUGUUCAGAAAUUCAAAAACUGAUCAUACUUACAAUUUUUUAUUCCGAACUUCUUGAAAUGUUCCACUUUUUGAAAUAAAUUUUCAGAAAUUCAAAAAAUGGUCACGCUUUCAAAAUUUCAUUAUUUGUUCACAUAUUCUUGUUGGUGAAAAAUUGUUCAGAAACUCAAAAAAUACUUGCACAUUUUCAAAUAUACUCUUUCGAAAAAGAGUAGACUUUUUGAAAUAAACUAUCACCAUAGUAACUAAUUCUAGUUCGCCACAAUAUUUAAUUCAAAUUUGCUAUAGUCGAGCAGCCCGGGUUUACACUACGUUAAUAAUUUAGGUCGCGCGGUGCAAUACUAACAAAAAAAUUGUCUCGUGGAGUGGCUAUGAGCUCGCAAUUGGAAGCAGGAGGUCUAAUUUUCGAAUCCUCACAUCGUGCUGCCCUCGAAUUUUGCUAUAUUUUUUCGUCUCGUGGUACAGGUUGAUCGGUUGGCCUAGUCGUGUUGUCUCCUAUGUGUGGCGCCGCUAAUUUGACGGAAAGAGCGUAAAAUAGGAGGUCCCCCUAUUAUGUGUUCACAACCGUGGUGGCUGCUUGAAGGUUGUCUAUAGAAGAAAGCUCUCUUGAAGGUGGAGUCCAUCAACAACAACAAAAAACUACGAAACAACCAUCAAAUAGACACAUGAUAAAAAGGCUAGAUGUUUUUUUCUCGGACACGAUACACACGUGGUUUUUAGGACAUAAUCACUCGGGACCCGCCCCCUCCAUUGGGGCAUGCGGGAGAUGGGGCGCAGCCGGCACCGGAUGCUGUCGGUGCAGUCGCUGCCUCUACGCCGCUUUCGGGUGAGGCCUUGGAUGCAGUUUGGGCUCUCGCCGGGGUCUCUCUGGCUGAUGCCAAGGCGGCUGCUGUGCGGAAUGCAGGCUUUGAUAAAGCUAGUAAAGAUCUGAUGGGGAGAGAGCCACGAAGUGGGCUAGGAAGAAAGAAAAGAUGACGUGAUACCGGUGCGGAGGGCAUUUUGUGGUUGAGUGCUCGGCAGAGCUAUGUGACAUUUGCCAUAAGCCGAAGCAUGAGAAGGGAGAGUGCCCUUUGCUCCUAAGGCCGAAGCCGGUGGUCACGAUCUAUGGGGCUUGUUGUCUAGAGCUUAUGUUCUUUGAAUCUCCUCGCUCGACUUCGACCACGCCGUCUCUGGAGAGUGCGCGGACGGGGGUUGUUAGGGUGACUCGUGGAUCGAUGACUUCGGAUCAGGUUGUUAGGAUGACUCGUGGAUCCAGUCAGGCUUGACGAGCAUCUAUUGAGAGCGGAUUUUCCUACUAAGGAAGAUCUUGCGAGGUUGCUGAAAUUUGGGAUGAGCAAGGUGCCAAACAACACUUGUGUUCUUGAGUUUGAGCCCGAGGGAACUCCUUUUUCUCAGCUGUGGGUAAGGUUUCUAGGUGCUCCGCGUACAGCGAUAGAUGAUUUUUUGGUGACUUGGAGUCUUGGUUCUCUGAUUGGUAAAACAGAGAAGGUGGAUAUGCCUUUCACUCAUGCACAGGGGGUAGCUCGCCUGGUGGUUAGUGUGACUAGCAUUGAGCAUAUUCCACACACUGUGAGAUGGGCUUAUGAUGGCAGGAGUUUUGACUUGGAUAUUGAGAUAGAGGAAAGUACUCUCUUCUAGGAGUUGGUUGAACAUAUCGAUAUGGAUACGGAGGAUGGUAACAACGGAGAUGGGAAACGGGAUGGUGGGUAAAAAAUGGGGAUGAUACUGACAGCGGUAAAAAGUGGUGGCAGCGCGUGCUCCACCGAAUCAUCCAUCUCCAUCGUGACACCACACAGUCACCCGCGCGCGGAGCCAGACGCGAAAGACCCAAAUCUCAACUGAUUCGAAGGGGUGGAAGUAUGUGCCUGCUCCUUCGUAGAGCCAGUCACUCCGGGGGCUUUUGCGAUGCCAGAGUCACCCACUCGGCCCUUGUUGGAGGAGACAUCGCCGAGGACGAUCCUGAGAUCCGGGGACCGGAGUCAGGAACAUUCGGCGGCUUCACAUGAGACGGCGGCAUCUAGGCAGCAUGGUGCUGUUGCAGUUACUUCUUCCCCCAAUGGGUACUUUGGGACUUCGAAAGUGGUUGGGAAGCUGGCAGGUGGCCAUACCGCAAUGGCUUCGACGACACCUUUCUCUGCUCGGGGCGUCGCUAGUGACCCUAGCCAGAUAGGGGCAUGGCUGCUGGGAGCGACCGAGGUGGGCAUGACUGCUUUGUCGGUCACACGAUAGAUGAUCGUGCGUCUCCUGGCAUUAUGCAUUCGAGCCCCAUCGGAUAGGAGUCACAAGGUCACCGUCUGCAUGUGCAUACCACCAAGGAGAUUAUCACCUUCGGAGGGUUCCCUGACCGGGCGACAAGAGAGAGGCGGACGAGUAGCCGUCUCCAGGCUCAGCCGGAUGUCGAUGAUCUUCACAUGGGUUGUGCCAUGCGGACGGCUAAGCUUCGUGACAUUGAGGCAACUACAGGUAUGUCGGUUAAUAGUAUGUCGGUUAAUACGAAUUGUUCUAUCUUGCAUUUCUCUGAUGAUGAUGUUAUUUUAAAUGCAAACCGACUAGGGGUGUCGCUGGGUAACAAUGGGAAGGAAUUUUCGAAAUGUGUGAAUGAUAUUUUAGACUUAGAGGCUGAGAGAGCUAUGGAGAUGCUUAGGAAUAUUGCUUCAGUCAAACCUAUGAAUGGUUCUGAUAUUAAUGCUCUAGGGAUGGUGGCAUUAGAGGGUCUAUGUGAGGACCUCGUGCCAACGUCACCGAUAUGUGAAGAAGGUAACGAUAUCGGUUCAGAGGGUUAUAUGGACUCUCCGCAACCUAAUGUUUGCGCAGAGUCUGGGACUGGUUAUAUGGGCCGGUUGGCUGAACAGGAUAAGCCAAAACACACCUCGAAGGGAAAGGUUUAUCCUGAAUCUACGGUUCGUAGAAACGCAAGACUUAAGACUGCAAAAAAAAAUUGAUGACACAUGAAAGGAAUAUUUUUAAACAGCAUAGGUCUAGCAGACUUGGCUAAAGAAGAUUUUUAGCGAAAGCGACAAUUGAUCCCAAACUAGACUUUAUUGUCCUAAUGGAAAUCGGUAGAGAUAACUUUACGUCACAAUUUCUUAGUACUCUCUCCGGUGGUGUUGAGUUUGAUUGGCAUUGUCUAACGCGAAGAGGAAGGUCCGGUGGAAUCUUACUUGGGGUAAGGUGCGAGUCACUUGAAGUCGAGAACGUAGUGUACAGGAACUUCGGUGUGAAAUUUAGACUGUGCUCGAAGGAGGACGGCUUCCAAUGGGCACUUGUGGCAGUAUAUGGUGCCGCCCAGCCAGAGUUGAAGAUAAGCUUCCUAGCUGACCUUGUCUGGAUUUGUGGGAUGGGCGGCUACCGAUUUUAGUUGGGGGUGACUUCAAUAUCUUUCAGUGUAGGGAGGAAAAGAAUAAUGACAACUUUGGUGGAAGAUGGUCAUUUAUGUUUAACACAAUUACCGAAAGCUUGUGCAAGAGAUUGAGCUCUCAGGCAGAAAAUUUACUUAGGCCAAUGCCUUGCCCAAUCCAACAUUUGAGAAAUUGGAUCGAAUUCUCACUGGUGUGGAGUGGGAGCAGAAAUACCCUCUCAUAACAGCACGAGCGUUGCCGUGAGCGAUUUAUGACCAUACCGCAUUUCUUGUUGACUCGGGUGAUGCAACACAUGCGGGUAACAAGAAUACUUUCUCUUUUGAGCUAGCUCAGUUUGAGAGAGAAGGCUUUCUGGACCUAAUAGCUAGAGAAUUGGCUAAGGUCACAGCGGGGGUAUCUAAUGUGGACCGAUGGCAAAAUAGAAUAAGGCAGGUGAGGUAAUUCCUAAGAGGUUGGGCUAAGCACGAGAGCGACAAAUAUAAAAAGGAGAAAGAAAGACUUCUCGAUCUUAUUAAUCGGUUAGAUUUAAAAGUCGAAUCACGCUGUUCGAUGACAACGGAAGGUCAUCUAGAGCACAGGCUGAGAAUAUUCUUACACAACUUCUUAGAGAAUAAGAUUUGAAAUGGCUCUUAGAGUGAAAGUUCGACGGGUUGUUUACGGUGAUGACAACACGAAGUAUUUCCGUCUCAUUGCGAAUGGAAAACACAGAAAGUAAUUUUUUUUACCAACUUGAGGAAGACGAGGGUACGAUUUUUGGACAUGAAAGUUUAAAGUUGUAUAUCUCUGAAUACUAUAAGCAACUCUUCCGGGAGCCUGAUGACAACUUCGUAUCCAUGGAUGAGCAGACAGUCGGUGAUAUUUAUCAGCUCGGGAACAACAAGAAUGCGAUAUUAACCACACCAUUUUCGGAGAAAGAGGUGUUUGAGGCUAUUUCACAAAUGAAAAACAAUAAGGCACCAGGACCAUAUGGAUUUCCGACUCAGUUUUAUAAGAGAUGUUGGCACGUUAUUAAAGGUGAGUUACUACCGAUAUUUCAGGACUUGUUCAAUGGCCAACUCCAGCUUUUCCAUCUUAACUUUGGAACAAUUAUGUUGUUGCCAAAGAAGGAGGGGACGUUGCACAUUGAAGAAUUUUGACCUAUUUGCUUGCUUAAUGUGAGCUUCUGUUUUUUUGGAAAGGUUGGUACAAAUAGAUUGUCGCAAAUUGAUCAUGCAGUGGUGCAACCUAGUCAGACGGCUUUCAUGCCGGACAUAAACAUACUAGAGGGUGUGGUUGUCCUACAUGAAACAUUGCAUGAAAUCCACUCAAAGAAACUAGAUGGGGUUAUCUUGAAGGUGGAUUUUGAGAAAUCUUAUGAUAAGGUUAAAUAGCCUUUCCUUCAACAAGCCUUACGUAUGAAGAAGGGAUUUGACAAGGUUUGGAGGAAACACGUUGAAUCAUUUAUACAAAAAGGUAACGUUGGAAUUAAAUUUAAUGAUGAUAUGAGUCAUUACUUUAAAACGCACAAAGGUCUUCGGCAGGGAGACCCAAUGUCUCCCAUCCUAUUCAAUGUGGUUGCAUAUAUGUUGGCAAUUCUAAUAGGAAGGGCUAAAGAGGAAGGCGAGGUAGGUGGACUCGUUCCACAUCUAGUGUAUGGUGGGGUGCUAUCCUACAAUAUGCUGAUGGCACUAUCUUGUUCGUGGAACAUGAUUUGGCAAAAGCGAGAAAUAUGAAACUUAUUCCGUGCUUAUUCAAACGGUUGUCAGGCUUGAAAACUAUUUUUCACAAGAGUGAUCUGUUCUGCUUUGGGAGAGCCAAAUAUGAACAAGGUAUAUAUAAACAACUGUUUGGAUGUGAACUGGGAAGUCUACCAUUUAGUUAUCUAGGCAUACCAAUUCAUCACCGUAAGUUAUCAAACAAAGAGUGAAAAUGUGUUGAGGAUCGAUUUGACAAAAAACUAAGCUGCUGGAAGACUAAGCUUUUGUCAUAUGGAGGUCGGCUCAUACUGAUUAAUUAGGUUCUAACGAGCAAGUCGAUGUUCCUUCUGUCCUUCUUUGAGGUAUCGGUAGGGGUACGGAAAAGAUUGAACUCUUAUCGAUCCCGCUUUUUCUGGCAGAGUGACGAAGUUAAGAAGAAAUACAUGCUUGCUAGGUGGGAUAUUGUUUGCAGACCGAAGGACGAGGGUGGUUUGGGAAUUGAGAAUUUAGAGGUUAAGAACAUAUGUGUGCUAAGCAAAUGGUUGUUCAAUUAUCUAUGGAGGCAGAAGGUAUGUGGGUACAAAUUUUGCGUAAUAAGUACUUACAAUCUAAAACCUUGGCCCAGGUAACAGUUAGACUCAAUGAUUCACCUUUCUGGAAAGGCUUGAUGAAGAUAAAACCGGGUUUCUUCCACAAAGCUAAAUUUAUCAUUGGAGAUGGAAAGUCUACAAGAUUCUGGGAGGAUACGUGGUUGGGGGCGACGCCUCUGGCCAUACAGUAUCCAUCUCUCUAUAAUAUUGUUCAACGUAAGGAGGCUUAUGUUGCCUGAGUAUUACAGUCAAUUCCGACGAGUUUUAGUAGUUUAUAGGUGGGAGGCUUGAUUACACCUAGUCACAAGACUCAUGGAUGUCCAGCUAUCGGAUGAGCCCGAUAGGCUUCAUUGAAAGCUAACACCUAAUGGCAUCUUUACUAUCAAAUCAAUGUAUUUGAGCCUUAUUGACACAACACCAAUACCUAAGUCCAAUCAUAUUUGGAAGGUGAAAGUGCCCUUGCACUUCAAAGAUUUCAUGUGGUUUGUCCACGAGAAGGUGAUUCUUACUAGGGAUAAUUUGGCAAACCGAAAUUGGGAGGGAAGUAAAAGAUGUAGCUUCUGUGACCAUGAUGAGACUAUCAAACACUUUUUUCUCCAAUGUCCGCUCGCAAGAAUUCUAUAACAAACAGUUCGUAUAUCCUUUAAUAUCACACCUCCGUAUAGCAUUGAUAUGUUGUUUGGGAUGUGGCUAAAUGGGGUUGACAUAACUUUUGCUAAACAUAUUCGUGUAGGAGUAUGUGCAUUGCUUUGGGCUAUAUGGAACCGCAGGAAUGACGUAACUUUUAACACACAAACAAAUGUUAAUUUCUUGCAGGUACUCCACAGGAUAUCGGCGUUGAUCCGUACAUGGUCGUUACUCACUCUUGUGGAAACCAGGGAACCUUUAAUUACUGGGUCUAUCCGGUGGGAGAUGGUAGCUCGGGAUAUCUACAACCAGUUUGGAUGGCGGUCCGGUAAUAGGAUAGAUGUUUAGGCAUCUAGGCUUAUGUUCGUCGGUUGUGGCAUCUUUUUGUAGACUUUUCAUUAUUGUGUUGCUCGUUUUGAGCUUGUUCGGAAAUCCUGGAUGUUUGUUACUUGUCCUUAAUAAAGUGGUUGCAUACAUCGUAAUGAUGCAGAGGCCGGAGGGAAUCCUCCUUUUCGAAAAAGCUGAUUUUCAGAAAAAUGGCAGUGAAGCUAGCAACACGGCUUGGCACAACGAGUUGCCGCCGAUAGCUUUGCUUCUUUUUCGAUCUAAACAUAACUGAAAGCUAAAGAUCAAGGCUUUUCCUUUGGACCCACACAAACCAGCGAGAGAAUAUACAAAAAAUGCGGGAAUAGAGAAGAAGAGAAGUGAACGGCUAUAAGCUCAUAGAUGAGCGAAAAUGGGGAUCAACCUCGAAGUUAGCCGCGAAACAACUUGUGAUUGUAUCGCUUGAGGGACAAUGAUAUUUCUAGCCGAUAAGAGCAUCUCUAGCACACCCCGUAUAAAGCCGAUCCGCAAAAGUCGUUUACAGUUCGCGAAAAACGGGUUUUGAGGGCUGACGCGGAUGCGGACAGAGGCAGAUCCCCAAAACGGACUCGUAAAAAACGAUAUUCACGGACGAUGCUUUUAUACGGGUCGGCAAUGUGGGGUCUGCUCAGGCGCCGCCGCGUCGACCCGCAAACCAAAAAACCUCCCAAUAAAACAUAGUUUGAAUUUGAUAGCGAUUUCGGCAAAUGAGUUCGAAUUUAAACAAUAAAACAUAGUCCGUGCGUGAAAUGAAAGCAUAAUUUAAAGGACAAACGCAAAAGGACUUCAUGCAUCCUGGUCGCUCUUCACUCCGCACCAUCGAGUUCAUCGCCGCCCCCGAUUCCAUCGACUCCCCGAAUCAAUCGCCGACACUUGUUCCUACUCCGCCACUUGUCCCUACUUCGGCACCGAAAUCAUCAGCAAUAUUGGUUCUGAUUCGAGAUGAGAAAACAUUGCCGCCAUUGUAACACGCAAGCAUCCUCCUCUUCAAGAUUUCUCUCCUUGUCAUACAUGCCAUUUUUUGGUGAUGUCUGUUGGAAUUAUGCCCUAGAGGCAAUAAUAAAUGUAUAGUUAUUAUUAUAAUUCCUGUAUCAAGAUAAUAGUUUAUUAUCCAUGCUAUAAUUGUAUUGAAUGAAGACUCAUUUACAUGUGUGGAUACAUAGACAAAACACCGUCCCUAGCAUGCCUCUAGUUGGCUAGCCAGUUGAUCAAUGAUAGUCAGUGUCUUCUGAUUAUGAACAAGGUGUUGUUGCUUUAUAACUGGAUCACGUCAUUGGGAGAAUCACGUGAUGGACUAGACCCAAACUAAUAGACGUAGCAUGUUGAUCGUGUCAUUUUGUUGCUACUGUUUUCUGUGUGUCAAGUAUUUAUUCCUAUGACCAUGAGAUCAUAUAACUCACUGACACCGGAGGAAUGCUUUGUGUGUAUCAAACGUCGCAACGUAACUGGGUGACUAUAAAGAUGCUCUACAGGUAUCUCCGAAGGUGUUAGUUGAGUUAGUAUGCAUCAAGACUGAGAUUUGUCACUCCGUGUGACGGAGAGGUAUCUCGGGGCCCACUCGGUAAUACAACAUCACACACAAGCCUUGCAAGCAAUGUAACUUAGUGUAAGUUACGGGAUCUUGUAUUACGGAAUGAGUAAAGAGACUUGCCGGUAAACGAGAUUGAAAUAGGUAUGCGGAUACUGACGAUCGAAUCUCGGGCAAGUAACAUACCGAAGGACAAAGGGAAUGACAUACGGGAUUAUACGAAUCCUUGGCACUGAGGUUCAAACGAUAAGAUCUUCGUAGAAUAUGUAGGAUCCAAUAUGGGCAUCCAGGUCCCGCUAUUGGAUAUUGACCGAGGAGUCUCUCGGGUCAUGUCUACAUAGUUCUCGAACCCGCAGGGUCUGCACACUUAAGGUUCGACGUUGUUUUAUGCGUAUUUGAGUUAUAUGGUUGGUUACCGAAUGUUGUUCGGAGUCCCGGAUGAGAUCACGGACGUCACGAGGGUUUCCGGAAUGGUUCGGAAACGAAGAUUGAUAUAUAGGAUGACCUCAUUUGAUUACCGGAAGGUUUUCGGAGUUACCGGGAAUGUACCGGGAAUGACGAAUGGGUUCCGGGAGUUCACCGGGGGGGCAACCCACCCCGGGGAAGCCCAUAGGCAUUGGGGGAGCCACACCAGCCCUUAGUGGGCUGGUGGGACAGCCCACAAGUGCCCAAUGCACCAAGAGAAGAAAAAUCAAGAGGAAAGGCAAAAAAAGGAAGGAGGUGGGAAGGAAGGGGGACUCCUCCCACCAAACCAAGUCCAACUCGGUUUGGGGGGGAAGUCCUCCCCCCCUUUGGCUCGGCCGACUCCUUGGGGGUCCUUGGACCCCAAGGCAGGGCCCCCUCUCUCCCACCUAUAUAUACGGAGGUUUUAGGGCUGAUUUGAGACGAUUUUUCUCACGGCUGCCCGACCACAUACCUCCACGGUUUUUCCUCUAGAUCGCGUUUCUGCGGAGCUCGGGCGGAGCCCUGCUGAGACAAGGUCAUCACCAACCUCCGGAGCGCCGUCAUGCUGCCGGAGAACUCUUCUACCUCUCCGUCUCUCUUGCUAGAUCAAGAAGGCCGAGAUCAUCGUCGAGCUGUACGUGUGCUGAACGCGGAGGUGCCGUCUGUUCGGUACUAGAUCGUGGGACUGAUCGCGGGAUUGUUCGCGGGGUGGAUCGAGGGACGUGAGGACGUUCCACUACAUCAACCGCGUUCACUAACGCUUCUGCUGUACGAUCUACAAGGGUACGUAGAUCACUCAUCCCCUCUCGUAGAUGGACAUCACAAUGAUAGGUCUUCGUGCGCGUAGGAAAAUUUUUGUUUCCCAUGCGACGUUCCCCAAAAGUGGCAUCAUGAGCCAGGUUCAUGCGUAGAUGUCUUCUCGAGUAGAACACAAAAGUUUUUGUGGGCGGUGAUGUGCGUUUUGCUGCCCUCCUUAGUCUUUUCUUGAUUCCGCGGUAUUGUUGGAUUGAAGCGGCUUGGACCGACAUUACUCGUACGCUUACGAGAGACUGGUUUCAUCGUUACGAGUAACCCCCUUUGCUCAAAGAUGACUGGCAAGUGACGGUUUCUCCAACUUUAGUUGAAUCGGAUUUGACCGAGGAGGUCCUUGGAUGAGGUUAAAUAGCAACUCAUAUAUCUCCGUUGUGGUGUUUGCGUAAGUAAGAUGCGAUCCUACUAGAUACCCUUGGUCACCACGUAAAACAUGCAACAACAAAAUUAGAGGACGUCUAACUUGUUUUUGCAGGGUAUGAUUGUGAUGUGAUAUGGCUAAUGAUGUGAUGUGAUAUAUUGGAUGUAUGAGAUGAUCAUGUUGUAAUAGAAAUAUCGACUUGCACAUCGAUGGUACGGCAACCGGCAGGAGCCAUAGGGUUGUCUUUAUACUAACGUUUGUGCUUGCAGAUGCGUUUACUAUUUUGCUAGGAUGUAGCUUUAGUAGUAAUAGCAUGAGUAGCACGACAACCCCGGUGGCAACACGUUGAUGGAGAUCAUGGCGUGGCGCUGGUGACAAGAAGAUCGUGCCGGUGCUUUGGUGAUGGAGAUCAAGAAGCACGUGAUGAUGGCCAUAUCAUGUCACUUAUGAAUUGCAUGUGAUGUUAAUCCUUUUUUGCACCUUAUUUUGCUUAGAACGACGGUAGCAUUAUGAGGUGAUCUCUCACUAAAAUUUCAAGACGAAAUUGUGUUCUCCCCGACUGUGCACCGUUGCUACAGUUCGUCGUUUCGAGACACCACGUGAUGAUCGGGUGUGAUAGACUCAACGUUCACAUACAACGGGUGCAAAACAGUUGCGCACGCGGAACACUCGGGUUAAGCUUGAUGAGCCUAUCAUGUGCAGACAUGGCCUCGGAACACAUGAGACCGAAAGGUCGAUCAUGAAUCAUAUAGAUGAUAUGAUUAGCAUAGGGAUGCUUACCACUGAAACUAUGCUCAACUCACGUGAUGAUCGGACUUGAGCUAGUGUAAGUGGAUCAUGAACCACCCAAAUGACUAGAGAGAUGUACUUUUUGAGUGGGAGUUUAGCGAAUAAUUUGAUUAAGUUAAACUCUAAUUAUCUUGAACAUAGUCUAAGUCCACUUUGAAUAUAUUUGUUGUAGAUCAUGGCUCACGCGAGUGUCAUCCUGAAUUUUAAUACAUUCCUAGAGAAAGCUAAGUUGAAAGAUGAUGGAAGCAACUUUGUAGACUGGACUCGUAAUCUUAAGCUAAUCUUACAAGCUGGGAAGAAGGAUUAUGUCCUUAAUGCUGCGCUAGGAGAUGAACCACCCGCUACGGCUGAUCAGGAUGUUAAGAACACUUGGUUAGCACGUAAGGAGGACUACUCAAUAGUUCAAUGUGCAGUCUUGUAUGGCUUAGAGCCGGGACUUCAACGUCGCUUUGAGCGUCAUGGAGCAUUUGAGAUGUUCCAGGAGUUGAAGUUUAUCUUUCAGAAGAACGCCCGGAUCGAGAGGUAUGAGACCUCCGAUAAAUUCUAUGCUUGCAAUAUGGAGGAAAACUCGUCUGUCAGUGAACAUGUGCUCAAAAUGUCUGGGUACUCAAACCGUCUAGCUGAGCUGGGGAUUGAACUCCCGCAAGAGGCUAUCACUGACAGAAUCCUUCAAUCACUGUCGCCAAGCUAUAAAGGCUUUGUGUUGAACUACAACAUGCAAGGGAUGAACAAGUCUCCCGGCGAGUUGUUUGCGAUGCUAAAAGUCGCAGAGUCUGAACUCCGUAAAGAGCAUCAAGUGUUGAUGGUGAGCAAGACCACUAGUUUCAAGAGAAACGGCAAAGGCAAGAAGGGCAAUUCGAAGAAGAGCGGCAAGCCUGUUGCCAAUCCACCGAAGAAACCCAAGGCUGGACCUAAGCCUGAAACAGAGUGCUUCUAUUGCAAGGGUAUGGGUCACUGGAAGCGCAAUUGCCCCAAUUAUCUGGCAGAUAAGAAGGCGGGCAAAGAAAAAUCAGGUAUAUUUGAUAUACAUGUUAUUGAUGUGUAUUUAACCGGCUCUCGUAGUAGUGCCUGGGUAUUUGAUACCGGUUCUGUUGCUCAUGUUUGCAACUCGAAACAGGAACUGCGGAAUAGACGAAGGCUGGCGAAAGACGAAGUGACGAUGCACGUAGGAAAUGGUUCCAAGGUUGAUGCAAUCGCCGUCGGCACAGUGUCACUUCAGCUACCAUCGGGAUUAGUGAUGAACUUAAAUCAUUGUUAUUUAGUGCCUGCGUUGAGCAUGAACAUUAUAUCUGGAUCUUGUUUAUUGCGAGACGGUUACUCUUUUAAGUCUGAGAAAAAUGGUUGUUCUAUUUCUAUGAGUAACAUAUUUUAUGGUCAUGCACCGAAUGUGAGAGGAUUGUUCAUAUUGAAUCUUGAUAGCGAUACGCAUAUACAUAACAUUGAGACCAAAAGAGUUAGAGUAAACAAUGAUAGCGCCAUAUUUUUGUGGCACUGCCGCUUGGGUCAUAUUGGUGUAAAGCGCAUGAAGAAACUCCAUGCUGAUGGACUUUUGGAGUCACUUGACUUUGAUUCACUUGACACGUGCGAACCAUGCCUCAUGGGCAAGAUGACUAAGACUCCGUUCUCCGGAACAAUGGAGCGUGCAAGUGACUUGUUGGAAAUCAUACAUACCGAUGUGUGUGGUCCAAUGAGCGUAGAGGCACACGGCGGAUAUCGUUAUUUUCUCACCUUCACUGACGAUUUAAGUAGAUAUGGUUAUGUCUACUUGAUGAAACACAAGUCUGAAACAUUUGAAAAGUUCAAGAAAUUUCAGAGUGAAGUGGAAAAUCAUCAUAACAAGAAGAUCAAGUUCCUACGGUCUGAUCGUGGGGGUGAAUAUCUGAGUUUCGAGUUUGGUGCUCACUUAAGACAAUGUGGAAUUGUUUCGCAGUUAACACCGCCUGGAACACCACAGCGUAAUGGUGUGUCCGAACGUCGUAAUCGUACUUUCUUAGAGAUGGUGCGAUCUAUGAUGUCUCUUACUGAUUUGCCGUUAUCAUUUUGGGGUUAUGCAUUAGAAACAGCUGCAUUCACUUUAAAUAGGGCACCAUCAAAAUCCGUUGAGACGACACCAUACGAACUGUGGUAUGGCAAAAGGCCAAAGUUGUCGUUUCUUAAAGUUUGGGGAUGUGAUGCUUAUGUCAAAAAGCUUCAGCCUGAAAAGCUGGAACCCAAAGUGGAAAGGUGCCUCUUCAUAGGUUACCCAAAAGAGACAGUUGGGUACACCUUCUAUCUCAAAUCCGAGGGCAAAGUGUUUGUUGCUAAAAACGGAGCUUUUCUCGAGAAGGAGUUUCUCUCGAGAGAAUUGAGUGGGAGGAAGAUAGAACUUGACGAGGUUGUCGAACCUUUCAUCCCUCUGGAUGGUGGCGCAGGGCAAGGGGAAACCUCUAUCGUUGCGACGCCGGUUGAGGAGGAAGUUAAUGAUGAUGAUCAUGAAACUCCAGUUCAAGUUUCUAUUGAACCACGCAGGUCGACGAGAUCACGCGCUGCUCCAGAGUGGUACGGUAAUCCCGUCUUAUCAAUCAUGUUGUUAGACAACAAUGAACCUGCAAAUUAUGAAGAAGCAAUGGUGGGCCCAGAUUCCAACAAAUGGCUAGAAGCCAUGAAAUCCGAGAUAGGAUCCAUGUAUGAGAACAAAGUGUGGACUUUGGAGAUACUACCUGAGGGCCGCAAGGCUAUUCAGAACAAAUGGAUCUUUAAGAAGAAGACGGACGCUGACGGUAAUGUGACCGUUUAUAAAGCUCGACUUGUGGCAAAGGGUUUUUCACAAGUUCCAGGAGUUGACUACGAUGAGACUUUCUCACCCGUAGCGAUGCUUAAGUCCGCCAGAAUCAUGUUAGCAAUAGCUGCAUUUUUCGAUUAUGAAAUCUGGCAGAUGGAUGUCAAAACGGCGUUCCUUAACGGUUUCCUUAAGGAAGAGUUGUAUAUGAUGCAACCCGAAGGUUUUGUCGAUCCUAAAAAUGCUGAUAAAGUGUGCAAGCUCCAGCGAUCCAUUUAUGGACUGGUGCAAGCAUCUCGGAGUUGGAACAAACGCUUUGAUGAGGUGAUCAAAGCAUUUGGGUUUAUACAAGUGGUUGGAGAAUCCUGUAUUUACAAGAAAGUGAGUGGGAGCUCUGUGGCGUUUCUAAUAUUAUAUGUGGAUGACAUAUUACUGAUUGGAAACAAGGUAGAGCUUUUGGAGAGCAUAAAAGGUUACUUGAAUAAAAGUUUCUCUAUGAAGGACCUAGGAGAAGUUGCUUACAUUCUAGGCAUUAAGAUCUAUAGGGAUAGAUCAAAAAGCCUGAUAGAACUUUCACAAAGCACAUACCUUGAUAAAGUUUUGAAGAGGUUCAAAAUGGAGCAGUCCAAGAAAGGGUUCUUGCCAGUUUUACAAGGUACGAGAUUGAGUAAGACUCAGUGCCCAGCAACUGAUGAAGAUAGAGAGCAUAUGCGCUCCGUCCCCUAUGCUUCAGCCAUAGGUUCUAUCAUGUAUGGGAUGCUGUGCACUAGACCGGAUGUUAGCCUGGCCAUAAGUAUGGCAGGUAGGUUCCAGAGUAAUCCAGGAGUGGAUCACUGGACAGCGGUCAAGAAUAUCCUGAAGUACCUGAAAAGGACUAAGGAGAUGUUUCUCGUCUAUGGAGGUGACGAAGAGCUCGCCGUAAAAGGUUACGUCGAUGCAAGCUUUGACACAGAUCCGGACGACUCUAAGUCGCAAACCGGAUACGUAUUUAUUCUUAAUGGGGGUGCAGUAAGCUGGUGCAGUUCCAAGCAAAGCGUCGUAGCAGAUUCUACAUGUGAAGCGGAGUACAUGGCUGCCUCGGAGGCGGCUAAGGAGGGUGUCUGGAUGAAGCAGUUCAUGACGGAUCUUGGAGUGGUGCCAAGUGCACUGGAUCCAAUAACCUUAUUCUAUGACAACACUGGUGCCAUUGCCUUAGCAAAGGAACCAAGGUUUCACAAGAAGACCAGACACAUCAAACGACGCUUCAACCUCAUCCGCGACUACGUCGAGGAGGAGGACGUAAAUAUAUGCAAAGUGCACAUGGAUCCUCUCCCUAUAGUGNNNNNNNNNNNNNNNNNNNNNNNNNNNNNNNNNNNNNNNNNNNNNNNNNNNNNNNNNNNNNNNNNNNNNNNNNNNNNNNNNNNNNNNNNNNNNNNNNNNNAUAGCCAGCCGAUGAUCCCCUCCACUCUCGUCUCGUCGCACACGCCGCUCCGUCCAUCACCUGGCUCGCCGUUGUCUUUGUGGUCUGCAGGCGAGGACGUGGAGCGCGCACAGGGCCCACGACAACGUCGCCAGGAGCCUCCGCGCCGUGGAGGCCGUCGUGCGGCACCUCGACGGCGUGCGCGAGGUACGUUCGAUGGGUUCUUCUGCCUUGCUUUCGAUCGGUUUGCUCGUCGCCGGCCGUCGUCCUGCGCCGCCGUCGCCGGCGGCGAUGGCGAUUUCGUCGUGGUGUCUGCUUCUAGACCGGGAGCAUGGGUCGACUAGUCGUGGGGUCCAACAGAGUCGUCCGCCCGCGUUGAUCCAUUCCACGGGCACGGACGCGCUAUUUCCGACGCCAAUCACCUGGCCUGGGCCGGCCCAGUACCAGUGUUUCUCGGCGCGAGGCCCAGAUAUGUGUCGGGCCGUCCCAGCGCGUCGUGCUGGGCCAAAUGCGUGAUCUGUUUCCCGUCGUCUCUCCCCACACCGGGCUCCGGCCCGGCCCCCAUUCCCCAGAUGGGUCGGAGCCGCCCCCUACUCCGGCGGGGCGGCGACGUGCGGGACGCGAGGGGUCNNNNNNNNNNNNNNNNNNNNNNNNNNNNNNNNNNNNNNNNNNNNNNNNNNNNNNNNNNNNNNNNNNNNNNNNNNNNNNNNNNNNNNNNNNNNNNNNNNNNGCUCGCGGCCAGGUAAACCCGCUGUCCCACGCCCGGACCUCGAGCCGAUCCGGUGGCCCGUCCUUUCCCCCGAUUCGCGUGCCGCUGCCGCAGAUCUGUGUCGCAUGUCGCUGUUUCCCGCCUGAUCCGUGUCCAAGCCCGCGUCGCGAUGCGCUGUGCGUGUGUAUGUUUGUCGAAUCGUGCUUGUUCAUACGGCUGGUUUACGAUUACCUCAAUAAAAAAAUGCGUCUGGUUUAGGUGCUGGGUAGGUUGGUGAGGCGUCCAGAUGGACCAGAUCCAUGCAUGCGAACCUAGGGCCGGCUCUGACGCCGUUGCAUGCCUGCGACGUUCGCCGGGGUCGUUAAUUGGCGAUGGGAAUGUCACCAAAAUAUUGUCUUAGCGGUCUAAUUCUGUUACUUUCUGGAUAAGGCCGCCUGAUUUCAUAUUUUGAAUAUGACACAUGUCUGCUGCGUCUAGGAUGUCUAUGCGGAUCAAGAAAGCAACAGAUUGUCUUAGUGGCCAGUGGGAGGUGUUUUUUUUUGUUUUCUGGCCUGCCAUGCUUUCCGGCCAUUAAUUUACACGCAUGUGAAUAGUUCCUUUACAGUUUAUAUGCCCCGCCUCUCCAUUGUGCAGUAGCAAUGGCGACAAAGUGCAUCAUCGGCGCGCUGAUCGGAUCCUUGGGCGUUGCGUACGUCUCCGACACGAUCGUUUCUGACAAGAAGAUCUUUGGAGGUGAGUAGUGCCAUGCUGUGUUACAUAUAUACAUGCCCUUAGGAUGCUUGUGCCUCACCUCUUGUAAGAAUUCAUAUAAUCUCUGCUUCUUACUUUUGAAAAUAGGGACUGUUUGCAAGACCGCGACCGACAAGGAGUGGUUUCAGGCCACGGACGCCAAGUUCCAGGCCUGGCCUCGCACCGCUGGGGGGAACCCCAUCAGCCGCCAGAACUUCAUCGUCAAGAACCCCUGAAUAGGUGGCACAAGCGGCAUCUUGCUCCCACCAUGGGAGCCCAAGUUUAGUUUCUUUUUUGGGUUUUGAAGUUCCUAAUAAAAGGGACUUGAAAGUCAGGGUCUACUCUUUUGUUUUACAAAUUUCAGUUUCCGUGAGCAACUUUGAGGUGCUUUACAGCUCGCUCGCUCGGAUUCGGAUUCGGGCCAGACGGAGGAAGUCUUUAUAAGAGCUUGCCGUGAUAAUGACUCUCCUAAAACCCUUAUUUGCGGUUAAUUGUUAAUUGGAUCUACACUUUUGUUGGAUCCACAUCUUUGAAAGAAGACUAGUUUGGGUCUUUCGAUGAACUCUGUUCCUCGAUGAAAUUAUCCACUAGACAGUAAAAUAACUGCAUUGUUGUUUCCGGACUGUCUUUCAUGUGUUGUGGUUCUUCCUGAUCUGAUGCUCCAAGUUUAUGCUGUGAUGUUAACGAGUCUAUUGUUUUUGACCCUUAGCAUGGUGGACUGGCGGUGCACUAUAAUUCUUUUUUGCUUGUGCUGCUAAUAUGCACAAUGGUAAACUAUUGUUUAGAAGAAUUCAUCAGCUGCUGUUCUGCUGCUGUUAUUUGCGAUGCUAAACCAUUAUUGACAAGCAUUCAUCUACUGCUGUUAGAUUGAAUAUCAUUCUGUGAUAUCCUGCUGAAAAUGCUGGACACAGCUUUAGUAUUGUAGCACAUCAAUGCCCACCGAAGCCCAACUAUGGCCCAACACUAGUACAGGUAUCUGUGAUCUUCAUAUUGUUUUUCGUUUUUGACAAGAACUGUGCGAGCAACAGAACUUUGUGUUGUGAGAAAGGUAACAUGAUGACCACAAGCCAUUCACAUGACCCAACGUUCUUGAUCAGCUGAAAUGGUUUACAUGCAGAUUUCUGUAAAAUUGGGAGAUGGUAACUGGAACAUCAGAUUUCAAAUUUGCUUGCUUCUAGAUGGAAAGCACAUGAAAGGGGCGAACAAAAUACAUGAUGACAAAAGGACAAAGCGAACAAAAAAUAACAGAAUUGACAUACUUUUGCCGCGAUUAUGCGCAUUCGCAAACCAUCAUAGUAAUUGGCAAGAAUAUAUCAGGGCAUAUCAUUUUUUUUAGGCUCAGCUGGAGUAUUGCAGUAAAUCAGUGCCCACUGAAGCCCAACUAUGGCCCAACAUUCGUACAAGUCUCUGUGCCUGUGAUCUUUGUAUUUACAGAAGCUAUUUUCCCUUCUUUGGCCAGAACUGUGCGAGCAACUGAGAAUUAAUUUGUGUUUUGAACAAUGUAACACAAUGGCCAUGAGCCGCUCAUGAAUCUGAAGUUAUUGAUCCGCCAAAAUAUUUUAAAUGCCAACAUUACAUCAGGCUCUUCUUCUUUUUUUUGCGGGGGAUUACAUCAGGCUCUUGACACAACGGAUUUCUGUAAAAUUAGGGGCAUGCAUAUAUGGAGCAGAUUAAAAUCUUUAUCUAAUAAUAAAGAGGCUAUCGCUUCCGUCGGAAAACCCAUCGAGGUGAUUUUACAAAAAAGUCCUUACUGUUUAUGACAUUAAACUCGUAGUAUAUAUUAAAAUAUAUUUUUAAAUACUCAUAUCUUUUAAACCGUAACUCCAAAUUAAACAUAUUAUACAUGGGAUUUGAUUAGAAAAAUAUGUAGAAUUUAAAUAUGAUAUUAUUUUAUCUGUUAAACAUUUAAUAAAAAUACUAUCUAGGGUGCAAUCUUAAUAAAUAAGUCAUUAUUCGUCUUUCUUUCAUACCGGUACUCAUCCGGGUUGGGGAUGAGCACGUCAACAAAAUCAAGAUUAGAGAUGAAAUUGAAGGUCACUUGACUGAUUCUUUGUACGUAUUAAAUCUACAUGCAAGCCGUGUUAAAAUAGAAGAUCUGUGAAAUUUUGAACUGCAUUUUUGUAGGAUAAGACCAUCUUUAUUUGUAUCGUAACUAUAAAUUUUCAAAUUAUAGACAUUUUUUAUAAAUUAAGAGCGUGUGUCGUGUGGUAUUUCUUUCUCCCGUUGCAACGCAUGGGCCCUUUUGCUAGUUAUGGUAAUAUGAGCAUCUGAAAGAUUUGCUUUGGGAUGUGAAGCACAUGAAAGGGGCCACACAUGAUGACAAACGGGCAAGCUAAAAAACGCGGAAUUGGAUGACUGUAGUACGUGAUGAGGCACAAUCAAACAAUGGCAAACAAAUCUUCAAUGAAAGUGGGCAGCUCCUCCAUACGUUGAUGGAGGGGAAGAUAAAAGCAAGGAUAUACUGUAUAUGAUAGGAAAUGAAAGUUUUCGCUGGAAAAAAAGAGGAAUUGUAGCUCAAAUGCAACACAGAACUUUUUAGUCGUCACAAGUUCGCAGGAAAAAAAGAUAGAACUGCAUCCUCACAAAAGUACUCAACAUAUGGCCCUAUAGUUUUGGUACAAUAUAUACAACAUAUCACUUGGUCCGCUAACAAAACCCCAUCUCGGAUCCUAUAUGGCGCGCCGACUAUUUCUCGCAUUAAGCGCCAACUUAGAAAGCACUCGCAGGAGGGUGUAGAGUAGUUGGGCCGGUCCAUUUUCGUGCACAAUGAAACGGGAGAGGACUCGCUACGAUGACCACUAUGACCAUGUCAUGCACACGAGUUGGUGCGAUGUGUACUUGAGGCAUUUGUAUAGUAAUAUUUUUUGGGUUUAAGUUGCACAGCAAACAGAACCACAACUAAAUAGGAUCGACGCACCAUUGCCAACACUGUCAACUGAUUAUUUAGUGGUACACUGAGCGGCAGCAAGAAGAAGGUACCGAAAAACUCGAAGUAUAGAACAUACAAGAAAGUAAGUGAACUAAUCCAUGCUUUACAUAUUUGGUCACUAUAGCCGUCAUAUGAAUAGAAAAUCAAAUGAAACUUACUUGCUUCCUCCUCUAGGUUCCAAUCAUCAUGGUCAUCAAACUCGAUAUUCUGCAUAGUGCAGCCAUAUGAGCCAUAUUUACAAUAUGAAAGACAAAGAAAUGAUGCAUCACUGGUCUAUCAUUUCAUAAUGGGCACCCUUUCAUAUUUGUCCAUGUGAAGGAACACAUAUACAUCAUAUAGUUUCCCGAAAAUCAUGAGGCUUUUAAAACACUUUUUUCUACCACAAAGAAUACCUCAGUGCAUAAAGAUUUGAAGUACUAAUCUAUUUAUAAUUUUCAUCCCAUCUUUCUUCAUCUUCCACUUCCCACUUUUCUUAUAUCACCGUCCUUUUUGAUCUUACCCUCUCCAUACUACUAAGUACCCAAUCUCUAUCAGCACAAUGACGUAAGCAUAAUCUCACUAUUUCCGUAAUGUGUAAUGUCAAACAGAGUAUAAGACUUCAAACCAGUUAUAUUGUAUCUACAUUACGAAGAUGUUUUCCAGACUGAUUCCAAUAACUCGAAAAUAAAACUAAAAGGUAAUGAUGUAUUUGCUUGAGCUUCCCUUCAAUUUUCUCAAAUAGUUCAAAUGACUGGCAAAUAAAGAUGGCAAGAUCCAUGAAAAGGAUCAAUGUAUGUACACCUAAAUAAUAUCUAGCCUAGAAGUGUUCGUUUAAGUUUCACUGCUUCCAUAGACAUGCCGAUAGGAUGGUGUAAACAAAAUAGUUUCCUUAAAAAAAGAUGCUAGAAGAUGUCAUAGGCAUGAACAGAGGUUUGUGACAGAAGAAGUUGUGAUUCUAGCAAACCUGCCACUCUAUCUCACCAAAGUUGCCUCCUAUUAGAAACAUUUCGGUAUCUUUGUCAUCAUUCUGCAUUUUUCAUUACAGCGGCUUCGUUGUCCCAUUCAUGCAGUUGCAUACGUCCAAGAAGGACGGAAAUAUCACAACCGUAGAAAGAAAAUGUCCGUCAGCAUCACAAUUCAAAUCUGAAGCGCAGAUAGUAGGAACAUGCUAGACAAUGUGCGUCAGCAUCACAAGACCAAACAAAAAGGCUGGAUGGAUAUGGUGGUAGUUUUAUCCACAUAAACCUGCACAAGAAGUGAAAGCAGAGGUUGAAUGUCGUGAGAACACAAACAUACAAGCACGAUCACCACACUUCAAGAUAAAAUUAAUUCAAGAAUGAAACCAGAUGCACGCGUGCGCAAACAGAACCUUUUAGAAGAGGAAUUGAGGAUCCCGAGGAGGGGGGCACGUGUCUGGCGGGGCUAUGCCAACUCUCGAUGUUCAACAGGUGCCACCAGAUCCCAUUCCCCAUGGUCAUCGGCCCCCAUUGUUGAAACAUGCCUAAUACUCAACACACGACGGUGGCCCAACUUGGCUCCCAAGCAAGCCCGGCAUGGCGAAGACCUGACAAUGCAUGCACGUCCGCAUGCCUCGGGAUCACUACCUACCUCGCACGCCAUCUGCCGAUCGCUGACCUGCUCCUUAGGGUUUCGGUUAGCUGCUGAUGAACUGCCCUGUAUAAGUACCGAUAGUAUAGAUUGAAUAAAUGUGUGCAGUCUCAAAACCUCUCUCUCAAAUAUUACAUGGUAUAAGUUUUCUUCUGAUCCUCUCGCUUCCGCUCUCCACCGCCGUCAUGGCUUCCCCCCGCUCCUCUCUCUCCGGUGAGGUCAAUCCCUUUCCCGUCCUCGAGCCUGCCUCUGCAGCUAGCCUUCGGCUCAUCCACAUCCAAGAUCACGUCCCCGUCGUCCUGGAUCUCCACACCCCUUCCUUCUCCACCUGGCGCACUUAUUUCUCGUUGACCUUCCGCGAAUUUCAAAUUCGGGAUCAUGUCGACGUCUCGAUUGACGCCCGCGUCAUGCGCGACGACGCCAACUGGAUGGGGGUCGACGCCACUAUCAUUAAGUGGCUAUACCGCACCGUCAGCAAAGAGAUCUUCUCGCACGUCACCCGCAACGACGACUCGACCCUCGAUGUUUCGACCUCCAUCUGCCAACUCUUCCUCGACAACCAGCUACAGCGCCAUGUGCUUCUCACGAACGAGUUCUACAGCCUCUCCCAGGACGGUAUGGGGCUCUUCGACUACUGCCUCCGCCUCAAGGUGCUCGCCGACGAGCUCCGAGACGUGGGCGCCCCGGUCUCCGACGCCACCAUGCUCACGAACACGAUCCGCGGGCUCGGUCCGGACUACGCCAACACUUCUUCCUACCUCAACCUCCUCACCGAGUCGAAGUUCGCCCGCGCCGUCAACUACCUGCGUCUUGAGGAGCGACGGAUGCGGCAGUCUUCUCUACAGCGGAACCAGUCUGCCCUCCCCGCACGCACCGCUUCACCAGCGCCUCCCGCGGCUCCUCCCGCGACACCCCCCGCGGCCGGCACCUCUCCACUCAGCCACGCCCGCAAGAAGAAGCGGGGCUCCGAUGGUCGCACGAGUACCGCCGGGUGUCCCUCCACGCCAUCCAGUCCCGCUCCUGCGCCCUGGUUCGGGGUGUCAAUCCCUGGACAGGUGUCGUUCAUGCGUGGGCCUUGCCGCCGGCGCGCGCGCCCCACCCUGGCAUCCUCGGCUCACGUCCCGUGAGCCACCAAGCUCUGCUGGCUGCCUCUCCGUCUUGUGGCUACCCACGCUGGCCCCCAACACAUGGCCGCGCGUGCCUCCUACGCACUGGCUCGGCAACUCCGGCGGGGCAUCCACCUCCUAUGAUCCCACGCUCCUGACGGCCCUACAUCAGGCUCCCUCGCCGGCCACCUACACCGGCAACCUCGACUGGUUCAUGGACACUGGCGCGUCCUCACACAUGGCCUCCCACCCUGGUAUCCUUUCCCAGUCUUAGCCCUUCCCUACGUCUACUCGCAUCGUGGUGGGUGAUGGCUCUUCUCUCCCCAUCACACACCGCGGUGAUCUCUCCCUCUCCUCCCACUCUCCCAUUAAACUCUAUGAUGUGCUUGUUUCUCCUCAGCUCAUUACUAACCUUGUUCUUCACGUGCACACGGCUGAACAAUUCAGCGACGUCAUGACCAAAGGGCUUCCACCGUCGGUGUUCUGGGAAUUUCGCUCCAGCCUCUGCAUCUCCGACGACGAGGGGGGGGGGGGGUGUUGAAACGGGCCUAAUACUCAGCCCACGCCAGUGGCCCAACUUGGCUCCCAAGCAAGCCCAGCAUGGCGAAGACCUGGCAACGCAUGCACGUCCGCAUGCAUGGGGAUCGCUACCCACCUCGCACGCCAUCUGCUGAUCGCUGAUCUGCUCCUCAGGGUUUCGGUUAGCUGCUGAUGAACUGCCCUGUAUAAGUACCGAUGGUAUAGAUUGAAUAAAUGUGUGCAGUCUCAAAACCUCUCUGUCAAAUCUUACACCCAUCACGCCGGGAGGGCAUGUCAUCCAGGGAGAUAGAUGAGAGGAGUGUGUCGUCGCCGCCAAUAUCACGUCGUGGUCAAUGCGAUAGAGAUGAUCGGGAAGCAAGGAUCUAGGGUUGCGGUUCCUCGACGACGACAAUGGGACGCUCGAACGAGUGGCGACCGAAAGCGGUGGGUGAAGAGGUCUAGGUGUGGAGGCUUGUGCAAUUAAUGGGGAGGGGAGGAACGCGAUUGUAGAUUGCAGGAGGAGGGUGCAGUUGCGACUUAUGAAGGCAUGAGGGGAUCUUGGGAGCGUGGGGCUCGUUGUUGUGCGUUCGAAUCCUGGGUGGCGUGUUUUUUGCCUUUUGUCAGGCUGGGAUGGGGGGCGAUCGUACGUGGGACUGGAGGUUGAAGAGUUUUUUUAUUAAACCGUCUGUUUUUCAAAGGGUUGAAAAAAACGAUGGGAGGUGGGAGGACGUGGGUGGGAGGAGGGGGAGAUCGAUCUGGGUUGAACCAUCACUAUAACGGCAGAUCCCCUUUAAUAGUAGAGAAGUAUGCUUGCACACUGAAUGUAACGAAGUGAUGGCUCGAUGAGACUCCUAGUUUCUUACUCACCAGCUUUCUGGUUGAUUGUCCUAGAACGGCAUUUUUAUGAGAAUUGUCCGAACAAGAAAAGAACCCAUGCACAAUACUGCUUUUUUUACGACGGUGCCGGUGCUUUACGGGACGUGCCAGCCUUAAUCCCUCAAACUAGUUUUAAGGGUUGAGAAUUUGCAUUUUUUGGCACUUUUAAGGGUUGAAAAACAGGGGCAAAGACUAGAACUCUCAAACCCAACCCUUAUAACAAAAACAGGGGCAAAAACAAAAGAGCUCAGGGCGGCGCGGCUGCCUCUGGCCCGCCNNNNNNNNNNNNNNNNNNNNNNNNNNNNNNNNNNNNNNNNNNNNNNNNNNNNNNNNNNNNNNNNNNNNNNNNNNNNNNNNNNNNNNNNNNNNNNNNNNNNGAUCAGAUUAUCUAUGAUAUAUAUUUGAGUCUUUGCUGAUUUCUUAUAUGCAUGAUUUGAUAUCCUUGUAAGUCUCUCCGAGUCUUGGGUUUUGUUUGGCCAACUAGAUCUAUGAUUCUUGCAAUGGGAGAAGUGCUUGGUUUUGGGUUCUACCAUGUGGUGACCUUUCCCAGUGACAGUAGGGGCACCAAGGCACACAUCAAGUAGUUGCCAUCAAGGGUAACAAGAUGGGGUUUUCAUCAUUGGUUUGAGAUUAUCCCUCUACAUCAUGUCAUCUUGCUUAAGGCGUUACUCUGUUCUUAUGGACUUAAUACACUAGAUGCAUGCUGGAUAGCGGUCGACCUGUGGAGUAACAGUAGUAGUUGCAGAAAGUAUCGGUCUACUUGUUUUGGACGUGAUGCCUAUAGAUAUAAUCAUUGCAUAGAUACCGUCACGACUUUGCGGUUCUAUCAAUUGCUCGAUAGUAAUUUGUUCACCCACCGUCUACUUGCUUUCAUGAGAGAAGCCAUUAGUAAACACUACGGCUCCCGGGUCUAUUCACAUCCAUCGUUUACACCUCUGCUUUUACUUUGCUUUGUUAGUUUGUUGCUUUCAGUUCUCACUUGGCAAACAAUCUAUAAGGGAUUGACAACCCCUUCAUAGCGUUGGGAGCAAGCUUUUGUGUUUGUGCAGGAUCUUGUGAUACUCCUCCACCGGAUUGAUACCUUGGUUCUCAAACUGAGGGAAAUACUUACCACCGCUGUGCUACAUCACCCUUUCCGCUUCGAGGAACACCAACGCAAGGCUCCAAGGCCACGGGGGAAAUCCUUUGCAUACUUUCCUAGGAAGUCCCUUAAGGCGUAGCCUCAUCUGAAGGAUUCCUGGUGUCGUCGACACGACUAUUUCUGGCGCCGUUGCAAGGGAAGCACAGCUGACAUCAGAAGUAUUUCCGGCGCCGUUGCCGGGGAGGAGAAAUCAAGAUCUAUCCAAGUAGGUCUCGUUUUCCUAUCCCCCACUUCACAUUUGCCGUUUUCAUUUGCCUUUUUUCGUUCGCCCUUUUCUCUCGCUUGCUUUCUGUUCGCUUGUGUGCCAUGUGCCUUCAAUAUGUUUGCAUCUUCGUUUGUUAAUCUCUUUAAGAGACCCACUUAUGUGGAACGAAUUGCUAGUGAGUUGAAGACACUUGACUAUCUUUAUGGAGUUUUGCUUGAGAGGCGUGAAUCUGAAAAUUGUGUGGAAGAAAAUUAUGAAGUGAUUCACGAGGGUUCCAUGGAUGAAAAGCAUGAUUGCAAUGGUUUCACUAUAAAUUCUAUUAGUGAUAAUUAUGCUAAAAUUAUGCAAAAACCCUAAGCUUGGGGAUGCUAGUUUUGCUUUGACCACUACUUGUUGCAAAGAUCAUGAUUGUGGUGAGGAUUUUUCUUCUGAUCUUGAAAAUUUGUUCAAGCCUCAAGAUGAAUAUGAUAUUUGCAAUAUUAUUGAAAGUGGGUUUGGAGAAGUCAUGACUUUAGAUGAUAAUCCCACUAUUUUUGAAGAGCGUCAACUUUGCAUGCAUGUGGAUCAUGAAAAGAAUAUCCUAUGGGAUAGCUAUAUUGUCGAAUUUGAAUAUGAUCCCACGUGUAAUUGCUAUGAGAGAGGAAAAUAUUUUGGUAGAAACUUUCAUGUUACCAAAUUACCUCUCGUUAUGUUGAGAUUGGUAUUGUCUCUUUCUUCUUCCUUGCAUAUGGCAGCUAUUGGUUGUCUUGACAAUUUGUUUUCCUAUAAAAUGCCUAUGCAUAGGAAGUAUGUUAGACUUAGAUGUGAUUUUCACAUGCUUUACGAUGCUCUCGUUGUGCUUCAAUUCUUGUCUUUUGUGAGAGCAUCAUUCAAUGCCUAGCUAAGGGCGUUAAACAAAAGCGCUUGUUGGGAGGCAACCCAACGAAUUUAUCCUUUUUCUUUCUGUUUUGUGUUUUCCACACUUUCAUAAUUCUGUUAUGAUUGUGUUUUUUGUGUUUCUUUUUGCGUUUGUGCCAAGCAAAACCGUUAUGAUUAGUCUUGGGGAUGAUCGUUUGGUCAUGCUGGAAAAGACAGAAACUUUCUGCUCACGAAAAUAAUUUUCAUUUGUUUUGUGUAAGAGAUUUUGAGUUGAUUCUUUUUGCUGAUGAUUUCUACGCAAAUUCUUCAGAUUGUCGUAAUUUUUCAGAAUUUCUGAAGUACCAGAGGUAUACGAAAUAUACAGAUUUCUACAGACUGGUCUGCUGUUAACAGAUUCUGUUUUUGUUGUGUUGGUUGCUUAUUUUGAUGAAACUAUAGAUAGUAUCGAGGGGUAUUAGCCAUGGAAGAUUUAAAAUACAGUAACCCAACAUCAGCACAAGUAGAGUUUAAGUUUGCUACAGUACCUAAGGAAGUGGUGGUUUGCUUUCUUGUACUAAUGUUAUCACGAGUUUCUGUUUAAGUUUCGUGUUGUGAAGUUUUCAAGUUUUGGGUGAAGUUCUUAUGGACAAAGAGAUAAAGAGUGGCAAGAGCUUAAGCUUGGGGAUGCCCAAGGCACCCCAAGAGAUUCUAGGAUGCCAUAAAAGCCUAAGCUUGGGGAUGCCCCGGGAAGGCAUCCCCUCUCUCGUCUUCAAUCCAUCGGUAACGUUACUUGGGGCUAUAUUUUUAUUCACCACAUGUUAUGUGUUUUUGCUUGGAGCGUCUUGUAUCGUAGGAGUCUUUUAUUUUUGUUGUGUCACAAUCAUCCUUGCUGCACACCUAGAGAGAGAGACAUGCACACACCGUGAUUUUGUCGAGCUUCACUUAUAUCUUUGGGGGGGGGGGGGGGCUAACAUGUGCUUCACUUAUAUCUUUUGAGCUAGAUACUUUUGCUCUAUGUGCUUCACUUAUAUCUUUUAGAGCACAGUGGUGCGUGGCUUGGUAGUUGAUCUAUGCUUUGAAAGUAGUCUCAAAAAGGGUAGUUAUCCAAAGGGAUACGAAAACUUCCACCUUCAUGUGCAUUGAAUAGUUAGAGAUGUUUGAUUCAUCUCAAUUAGUUUUGAGUUGUGGUUAUGGUAAUAUUGAAGUCAUGCUAGUAAGGUGUUGUGGAUCUAUAAAUACUUGUGUUGAAGUUAGUGAUUCCCGUAGCAUGCACGUAUGGUGAACCGCUAUGUGAUGAAAUCUGAGCAUGAUUAGUCUAUUGAUUGUCAUCCUUUGCGUGGCGGUCGGGACCGCGCGAUGGUUUAUACCUACCAACCCUUCCCCUAGGAGUAUGUGUUGAAUGCUUUGUUUCGAUUACUAAUAAAACUUUUACAACAAGUAUAUGAGUUCUUCAUGACUAAUGUUGAGUCCAUGGUUUAUAUGCACUUUCACUUUCCACCAUCACUAUCUUCUUAGUGUCGUGCAACUUUCGCCGGUGCACAAAACCCACCAUUUGCCUCCCUCAAAACAGCCACCAUACCUACCUACUAUGGCUUUUUCAAAGUCAUUCCGAGAUAUAUUGCCAUGCAACUACCACCAUGAGAUGUGCCUCCACGUCUACAUUGCCACUGCAUGAUCGUAAGAUAGCUAGCAUGAUGUUUCCAUUGAUGUCUAUGCCAUGCUAGAUCAUUGUCACGGUACCCUACCGAAGGCAUUCCAUAUAGAGUCAUAGUUGCUCUAAGUUUUGAGUUGAAAGUGUGAUGAUCAUAAUUAAUGGAGCAUUGUCCCAUGUGAGGAAAUAAAAGAGGCCAAAGAAGCCCACCAAAAUAAANNNNNNNNNNNNNNNNNNNNNNACAAAGAGCCCACCAAAAAAUGAAAAAAUGAGAGAAAAAGAGAGAAGGGACAAUGCUACCACUUUUUCCACACUUGUGCAAUUUAAGCACCAUGAUCUUCAUGAUUGAGAGUCUCUCGUUUUGUCACCACCAUAUAGCUAGUGGGAAUUUUUCAUUAUAUAACUUGGCUUGUAUAUUCCAAUGAUAGGCUUCCUCAAAAUUGCCUUAGGUCUUCGUGAGCAAGCAAGUUGGAUGCACACCCACUAGUUUUCUUUAAGAGCUUUCACAUACUCUUAGCUCUAGUGCAUCAUUUGUAUGGCAAUCCCUACUCAUUCACAUUGAUAUCUAUUGAUGAGAAUCUCCACAGCUCAUUGAUAUGCCUAGUUAAUGUGACUAUCUUCUCCUGUUUGUCUUGCAACCUCCACCACACUCCACACCAUCUAUAGUGCUAUAACCAUGGCUCACGCUCAUGUAUUGCGUGAGAGUUGAAAAGGUUUGAGAAAGUAAAGGUGUGAAACAAUUACUUGGCCAAUACCGAGGUUGUGCAUGAUUUAAAUUCGUUGUGCAAUGAUGAUAGAGCAUAGCCAGACUAUAUGCUUUUGUAGGGAUAACUUUCUUUUGGCCUUGUUAUUUUGAAAGUUCAUGAUUACCUUGCUAGUUUGCUUGAAUUAUUAUUGUUUCCACGUCAAUAGCAAACUAUUGUUUUCAAUCUAAUGGAUCUGAACAUUCACGUCACAUAAGAGGAAUUACAAAGGACAUCUAUGCUAGGUAGCAUGAAAGCAUCAAAAAUUCAUUCUUUAUCACUUCCCUACUCGAGGGCGAGCAGGAGUUAAGCCUGGGGAUGCUUGAUACGUCUCAAACGUAUCUAUAAUUUUUGAUGGUUUCAUGCUGUUAUCUUGUCUUCUUUGGAUGUUUUAUGUAUCUUUUUAUAUCUUUUUGGGACUAACUUAUUAAUUCAGUGCCAAGUGCUAGUUCCUGUUUUUUCUGUGUUUUUGACUCUUUUCAGAUCUGAUUUUGGAACGGAGUCCAAACAGAAUAAAAAACCCGAAAUGAUUUUUUCCCGAAUGGAAGAAGAUCAGGCGGCCUCUGGGCCAAGCCAGGUGGGCUCCAAGGAGCCCACAAGCUCCCACUCCGCCACCAGGGGGGAGGCGGUGGUGUGAGGGCUUGUGGCCUCCCUGGCCGCCCCCUGACCUAGAUCCUUGGCCUAUAUAUUCCCAAAUAUUUAGCAAAAAUCAGGGGAGCCUCGAAAAUACUUUUCCGCCGCCGCAAACUUCCGUUUCCGCGAGAUCUCAUCUGGAGACCCUUCCCGGCGCCCUGCCGGAGGGGACUUUGGAGUUGGAGGGCUUCUUCAUCAUCAUCAUCGCCCCUCCAAUGACUUGUGAGUAGUUCACUUCAGACCUACGGGUCCGUAGUUAGUAAUCUUCUUUGGCGGUGUAAUCUUGGAUCUUCAAUACAAAGUUCUCCAUGAUCUUCAUGGAGAUCUAUCCGAUGUAAUCUUCUUUGGCGGUGUGUUUGUCGAUAUCCGAUGAAUUGUGGAUUUGUGAUCAGAUUAUCUAUGAUAUAUAUUUGAGUCUUUGCUGAUUUCUUAUAUGCAUGAUUUGAUAUCCUUGUAAGUCUCUCCGAGUCUUGGGUUUUGUUUGGCCAACUAGAUCUAUGAUUCUUGCAAUGGGAGAAGUGCUUGGUUUUGGGUUCUACCAUGUGGUGACCUUUCCCAGUGACAGUAGGGGCACCAAGGCACACAUCAAGUAGUUGCCAUCAAGGGUAACAAGAUGGGGUUUUCAUCAUUUNNNNNNNNNNNNNNNNNNNNNNNNNNNNNNNNNNNNNNNNNNNNNNNNNNNNNNNNNNNNNNNNNNNNNNNNNNNNNNNNNNNNNNNNNNNNNNNNNNNNGCCUGAGAGCUCGCUGCCGCGCCGUGCCCGCAAGGUGUUCGGCAAAACGCCUACAAGGUAUGUAUUGCUUCAAACUUAUGAAUUUGGUGCAUGUUUUGAGUGAUAGUUUUUAUAGUAUAGUAUUGAACAUUGUAGAUGAGUUCGUCCGAAGAAGAGUUUGAUAUGGAAGAGGAGGAGGAUCUUGCAAUGAUAAUAGCUAUGCAUAUCAAUAAAAAACCGAAGCACGGUGGUUCGGUUAUGGGUCGGGAGAAAAUUUGGAGAGAUAGGAUUGAUGCCCAUAACAGAUUGAUGAAGAACUAUUUCGUGGAGAAUCCCACAUACCCGGAGUCGUAUUUUCGUCACGGUUUAGGAUGAGCACAGACUUGUUCAAGCGCAUUGCAGAGAAACUAGCGAGCCAUGACCGGUUUUUCCAACAAAGGAGGAAUGCCGCCGGAGAGCUUGGUUGUGUUUAUUGCAUUAUUUGUUGUAUUGAAGGAUAAACUAUUUGUUUGAGUUGUAAGACUAUUUAUUGUUGAUUUAUUUUGUUUGUUUGAUCGUUUUUGCGCCUAUUUUUUAAAAUUUAUAUGUGGUUUGUGCGUGCUGCGCGCGCUGCAUUUUUGGGCACUGCUGAAGCGGCGCGCGCGCUGCAUUAUAGCGCGGCUGCUGGAGCCAGCGUCUAACCCCGCGCUAAACCAGCCGAAGCGCGCGCUACAAACGCAUUUUUUGAGCGCGGCGCGAAGCGCUGCUGGUGGAGAUGCUCUUACUUCAGUCAAAAUUUACUAAAACAUGAAAGCUUUGCCCCUUCAUGAGCAAACUUGCCCCCUUUAUGCGUUCAUUCUGGCUCAACGGCAUAAACCGGGUGGCGAGCAGGCGUGAUCAAAUGGAUUAUUUCUGUCUAUACCUAAAUUAUGUUCCCUCUGUAAACCAAUACAAGACAUUCUAGGUCACUACUUUAGUCGAGCAUGGUAGUUUGGUGCAGGGGGAACUUGGCUGAUGAAUGAUGGUAGGCAUGAGGGAAUAAUCACGUACUAGCUCGUAGACAACACUAACUACUUGGCAUGGCCACCUAGCUAAUUUGUCUGUCAAUUUGCUGCCGUUAGGAUUCGUUUUCCCAUGAGAACUUUCGAAUAUUUGUCGCUACACGGCUUGCCAUUGCAAAAGAAUAGUUUUGGCUUUUCGGGAUCGCGAUAGUAAAGUAGGUUCCGCAUUUAGCCUUUUUCUUCUGGAAACUUACUCUUUGAUGCAUGAACCGCCAUUGUUGACCGAGUUCCCUGGCCUGAUGUGAGAGAGAAUGACAUGGACGGUAAUUUUCAGUUGCUAGACGGUGUGCACAAAACAUACACUUCAUUCUUUUAGCAUUUUCCCAUGUGGAUGCACAUGUGAGGUGAGGUGAGGUGAGCUGAUCUGAGUAUAGAUGUCAACCAUUCCACAUAUGCAUGACCAUACAUGGUUAUCCUAGCAAGACUCGCGGCCUCCUACACUUCUCUCUCGAUCGUGUGUCCUCUAGGAGACCCUAGAAGUAACGGUGAAAAAUAUAUAGUGGGUUCGUCCACAAGAGGUCCGGCGCCUUCCUAGUUCCUUCAUCCGUGAUCUCUCUUCCUUUAGUUAACCCUCAAGGAAGGAAGCAGCUCAUCAAAGUUGCUAAAGCCAGAGUCGCCCAACUUCCAAAUCACUUUACUUGAAGGGGUAUAAAGGUGCACCUCACUCUACUCUAGCUCUACCUAUGUGUAUGGAGUAGCACUUUUCCUCUGCCUUCAUCCAACAUAGCACGCGCCUGAAGCUAUACUCAACUUUAUUGCUAUCUGUGGGUAAACAAACAAGGGCAGUUUUACAUGUGAAAAGACGCAGUAAUUUGCAAAUAAUAAUCUCCACGGAUCUUUGUGUAAAAUCCAACGAUGUAGGAGUUAGACAAGGCCUGGUUAAUUCUUAUCUGCAUGAGAAUUAACAAAUACGAUUCUGUAUUAUUGUUUGACUGCGUAUAUCACAACAAUUAUCGAUCGGUAGUCCUAAAUAAGGAGCAGGGUAAAUCUAGGCAUACCCCGGACCGGGUUUCGGGCGGGCUUAAAGCCCGAACUGAAAAUCCCAAGUCCAAGCCCCGCUAGGUACGGCCAAAAAAUCGAAUAUUCAAGCUCGAACCUGGGCCAAAUUGACUAAAAAUAUAAUUUCAGGCCAAGCCUCUAUGUAAAAUGGCUAUUUUUCCAAGCCCGAGCCCAGUCCGAAAUACAGACCAGCCCUAGUUUUCAAGCUUGAGCCCGGCCCGGCCUGGGCUUUUUGGCCGGGCUCGGGCUGGGUCAUCGAGCCGGGCUGCCCAUGCCCAGGUUUAGAGCAGAGAGUAGAGCAGGCACAUAUAAAAGCUACUCCCUCCGUUCCUAAAUAUAAGUCUUUCUAGGGGUUUCAUUAAUAGACUACAUACGAAUGUAUAUAGACAUAUUUUAAAGUAUAGAUUCAUUCAUUUUGCUUCGUAUGUAGACAUUUAGUAAAAUAUCUUAAAAGACUUAUAUUUAUGUACGGAGGGAGUAGUUUAUUGCGGGCACGAUGCCAUCAUGCGUGGAUGGAUAUGUGCAGCCAAAUAUGCAAAUAUACAUCCCUGUCUCACAUUUACAAAUCUGUCUCGCAACUGCACCGGAGCGGCAUCACAGAGGGCGCGGGUGAGCGAAAGGGACUUGCAACAGAAAGGUUUAUAGCCAGCUGCUACAGCCUACCACCCCUUGUACUACUUCCAUUCUCUCUAUCGUCUACCACUGCUACGAGCUUAACCAUAUAUAGCCACCGACCAACCCUUCCCAUGUAAGCUUACCAGAUCAUUUGGUGCCAACGCAAAGCAUCCACCAACCACCGUCCACUAGGAGUGAGUAGACAGUGGAGUAGGUAACAAGGACUCUUGAUUUCAAGUCUCAGCAAAUAAACAUAGCAUGAACAUAUCUUGCAGAAACAUCUUAUAUUAUGGGGUACGGACGGAGUAGCUUGUAGUUAAGGUACAGAUACUACCAUACUGAACUGAAUUUGCGUGGUUAAAUUCAGAAUCAUGUCAAGCCACCAUGUGUACUGCAUCCACUGGUAAAGUAACUAGCUAGCUAGUUGGUCACUCUCUCAGAUUUCAAGUAUGCGGCCGUGACGACCGCUUGGCUUUCCACACGCACAGAGACGUGCCGUGCGUGAUGAAGAAUACACACGUACGCAAAAGGACCUUUAAAGUCAAAAAAUCAUAAAGUAGACAUGCGCAGAAAUUCAUGGCAAGAGGGCCCAAGAUAUCAUAUAUGAAGAAAAGAAAAAAUACACAUAGCGGCAGCUAGCGUCACAAUCAUCACCAUGUGUAUUUCGGUGACGUGCCCGGAUUCCCAGCCAAGCGAGCGCGCGACCAAUUGAUCAACCCAGCUAAUAACGUGCAAUCAGCUCACUGAUUAGGCAGGAGACCGGCAAGUACGUACACUGAUUGAGCAGCAGGAGUUCGUAGCUAGAACGUUUUUCCAAGGGAACACUUUGAGCUAAAAGCUAACACAAGAUCCAAGGGAAAGGUCCGAGCAAGACGAUCACGCCUCGUCGAUCUCUUCUCGCCUUUAUCAGGAAAACAUGUUCGGUUACGAAACUUACGAAAACGUCUUAUAUUAUGAGACGGAGACGAAUGAACCAAGGAAAAUUAUGGCGCUUUACUUGUGAACCAAGUACUAGGAGUACAAGUUAGUCAAAUGGAGCAGUACAAGUCAAGCCUUUAGGCAUGAACUUCCUUCCUCUCUCUCUCNNNNNNNNNNNNNNNCUCCAAUAUCUCCACCGUUCUUCACGUUUACUCCAUAUAUAUGGAUGUAUCCUUUCCCCCUUUUCAAUCAAUCAAUAAAUAUUCCCUUCCACUCCAAGCUAGGCUCCAGCACCAACCAAAUUCUAAUCUAAACAACAAGAAAAGCAGUAACCGAUCGAUCGAAGCUUCAGCCAAUUUUCAUCGAUUCAUGCUUUCUUUUCUUUAACCAGUCGAGAUCGAUUCUGCCGAAAAGAACGGCAAUCGAGCCCCAAAAGGAAGAGGAAGAAACUACGUCGGGCAAAAGAAAAAAAGAGAAGACGGAUGAGAUUCAGGAAGCUAUCCAAAACCAAAAGCAAUGAAUUUCUUGUCUGGACAAGUGGACAUGCAUGCACAUGGUUGAUCGAUGGAGCUCGAGCCGAACCGGAUCGAUCAGAUGUCGACGGCGCAGGCGGCGGCCUGCUGGAAGCGGAAGUAGUCGGGGCCGCCGCCGGUUGUGGCGCCGUAGCUGCCCUUUCCCUCGUUCACCCUGAUGAGGGCCGGGCAGUUGACCCGGAGGUGGUAGUGGCCGGAGAUCCACGUGCCCACCUUCCACCGCACCCAGCCGUCGACGCGCACGUCCACCAGCACGUACCCGGCCGUCUCGUCCUGCGCGAGCGCGAUGGCGAGCUGCGGCGGGAGCACGACGCUGUCCAUGGAUCGGAGGUAGGGCGACCACACCGACUGGUCCCGGUGGCCCUGGUAGGCGACGGGGAGGCGGGUGGGCACGGGGAUGGCCCCGCCCCUGUACUGCGCGGACAUUUCCGUCUCGUCGGAGUAGACGCCGACGCGGGCGUUGGUGUUGCGCGCCGCCACCGUGGCCUGCAUGGUGGUGAAGAGGUAGGCGGAGGUGGGCGGGGUGACGUUGAGGCAGAGCACCGCCAGGUCCUGCAGGUAGAAGGUGGGCUUGUGGGGGCGGAGCACCAGGUAGACGAUGAGGAUGAUGAAGAGGGCGAGGAGGACGAGGGCGAGCAGCGCGCCGCAGCACUUGCGGUAGAGCCGGCGGCGGUGGCACUCGCAGCCGCCCUUGUGCCCGCCGCAGUCCUUCACCGCCAUGGAUUAUGGAUAUGGAUGGUGGUCGNUGUAAUGGAUGGAUGGGUGCUGCAGCAAGAUGGAAGCAGGAAGCAGCUAGCAGCGAUGAAGCGAGGUGUGAGGCUGUGAUCGAUCUGUGGGAUGGGAGGAAGGUGGAGAAGAAAAGGCAGUUGGGCACGAGGUGGUAUAUAUACAUCUACCACGGCAGCGGCAGGAGGAAUUGGUGAUUGGUGUGGGGUUAGGAGGAGGAGGGGAUCAGCAUUGGUCAGUGUGAGGAGGAGUACUGACAAGUUGGGUGUUGUCGGCUUGGAGCAGCUGGUACAUACAACCUGCAAGUGGGCCUUGGUGAGCAGUCUCUUGCUGAAGAAGCACUGUUAAUUAGAAGUAGUGGAAUUGUAAGCCUGAUAAAACAUAAAUGAGAGGUGGUUAAUGGUGAUGAAAAAUGGAGCAGUGUGGGUGAGACGGCGAGUGCCAUGCUAGGUUCCGAAAGCAGCAAUGAAUAAUAGGCCGGGUUCAGACAGGGGAUCGAGUCAUCGAGAUGAGAAACGAAAAGAUGACACUUUUCUUUUCUAGUGAUGAUUAAUAGGCCGGGUUCAGACAGGGGACGCCUUUAGUUCCUCACAUAGUAUGUUACAAACAAAACUUUAUCAGUUCAGAUGCACCGCCAGUCGCUUGUAAACGCGUUUUGUGUCAGUCGCGUGAAAACAGCCGGAGGGAAGAAGAAGCUCGUCGGAGAAAGCCCUCUAGGUGUCUUAAGAUGGCAGGCACCUCCGUUGUCUAUCUUAAGGGUGCGGGGUGCAUGAUGCAAGCUCGUUGAAAAAUAAAAUGACCAUCGUCGAGGCGAGAGGGAUGGUCGGGGUGGCGGCAGCACGUACGACGGUGAGAGGCGGUUGAGGGGCUGGCGCAGGAGCCGAGCGCCCCAACUGCGGGUAGUGGUGGGUGGAGGGUGGGGCGUCCACAUCAAUCAAAUGGGAUGAAGCCAACACAAUCCCAACGGAAAGCUAAAGUGCAAGAAUAACAAGGAGGAGGAGAAGAAGAAUCGUAGCACGAACACGGGUCCGCGUCACCUUCGUUCCGUGUGCACGCAGCUGCAGCCAGCCAGCCCCACUCUCUUCUCCAUCUUCAUCACAAGAAAAAAAUGCGACGUACGCAACGCGGCACAGCACAUGCAUAGCAUGGUCCGAUCGAUCGAGCUACACCACCAUGGUCCACGGCGCAUAUCGUCAGUACCACGUACCACGACGCGUCUAGCCUAGGAUAUGUUGCCAGAUCUGUCCUACGAGUUAAUUCCUCGUGUCGGACUAUUUCUAAUCUGAUACUCCUGCGUUAAGCUUAUAAAGAUUCCACUAACAGAUUACGUACGAAGCAAAAUAAAUGAAUCUAUAUUUUAAUAUAUGAUUAUGUACAUCCGUAUGUAAUUUGCUAAUGAAAACUUUAAAAGAAUUAUAUUUACAAACGGGUGAAGUAGAUCGAUCGAUCGUCCUAGUAGUACGAUUAGGAUAUAUCAACAUCAGUUCAUAAUCACCAUGCAAAUUUAUUUCCAAUCGUAUAUCACCGUGGUGAGAAAGCGGAGCAACAUACAGUAGUAUCGUUCAGAGCCGGCCGCGAGUUAUACUUAUUCCAUCUCUUCAUAUGCAUGCAUGUGCGAUCAUCAAAACAAUCGAGAGGAGGAGGACGACGACGAUACGCUAUAUAUGUAGGUACGUACGUCCGUCAGCCGAAUUCACGGACCAGAUCCAUUGGAAGGACGCGCAAAAGGUGUGGGGGUGGAGGGACGCGGUCACACGGAAUCGGAAGCUUCUCCUCCNNNNNNNNNNNNNNNNNNNNNNNNNNNNNNNNNNNNNNNNNNNNNNNNNNNNNNNNNNNNNNNNNNNNNNNNNNNNNNNNNNNNNNNNNNNNNNNNNNNNCUGGAAAGAUCCGGAUGAUCCGAGACUCGAUCCGGAUGAUCCGGGCUUUGUCCGGAUGAUCCGGCUAGACUAGAGGUGUUUUGUUACAUUCGGUUAGUAUUUGUCCGGAUGAUCCGGUCUUUGUCCGGAUGAUCCGCGACCUGGUCUGAAUGAGCUAGCUAUGUGCCAGAAUUUAGAACAAAGGUCGUCUAGGUUAUAGCUUAGAGUUUUCCUAGGGAUAUUUGGUCUUUGUGGACCAGUUAGUGAGACAAUAGAUGCAGGAAAUGAUGACCAACUGAUGAUACUUUGAGCGAAUCUUGAACAUAACCUUUGGAUCCCUCUUAUUAGUGCGGGAUCCCUAUUACCCAAGAAAUAUGUAAAAGAACCAAAACAUUUCUUUUCUGCUUGUUUCAUAUCUCAUAUGAUGUGUCCAUGAUCUCACAUAGUGAUGCAAGGGGAACUAAUAACCUGUGUAUAUACUCAGCAAACAUAAUUAGUCCCCUGUAUGUAUUUUCUCAUCAACAUCAAAAUAAUCUUAAGGGCGGGAUUGCACUUCCAAUCUCCCCCCUUUUUGGUAGUUGAUGACAAAAUACAUAUAGCUCAACAACACAAGAUAUAUGUUUGUAUAUUUUAGAAGUGUGGUUCACUAUGAGUUGAAGGAGAGCUCUCCUUCAAUAUGUGCAGAAAAUAAAUAGUGAGAUGAGAGAAUGAUGCACACAUAGAGUGGAUUUCCUUAGUCAUAAUUAAACAAAUCCAAGCAUAAGCAUCGAAUGAAAUGACAAUAGAUGCAUACUUAAAACCUUACAAAGUGGCGAACGACAGGUACCAUAGGUCCAUUGCACAUAGGUUUAAUACAUCAUGAAGACAUACAUAUUAAAAAGUACCACGACUAACAUAACCACACAACUUAAGAUAUACAUCUCCCCCUUGGCAACAGGUACCGACAAGGGAAAUGACAGAAGGACUAUAGUGGAUCACUGAGCAUCACCAGGGGGGGGGCCAUCACCAUCACUUGAGUCAACAUUGUUUAAAAGAAACUCCAGAAAAUAUGAUUCAGACGGGAAACCGACAACUAAAACAGGAAACGGCUCAGGAAGAGGCUCAUCAGGCUCAACAAGGCUCCCAGGGUGCGCACGAAGGUGAGCCCUAAGUGCGUUUGCCUCAGAGAUGCGACAAACCUCCGCGGUGGCAAUGUGAGAGACGGUGAAGUGGCAUGUGUCAAAGAUCUUUUAUGAGACUUCCCAAUAAAUCUACUCAGGCGAUCAAAAGGCUUCAUAAAGGGUCUAGUGAAGCGAGUAAUUAUCUCCACACUUGGAGGAACAUGAGCCUUUCCUCUGAGAGAGUCAUUCCACGGAGUCCACAUGGUGUGAAUGGACGUCUUAGCAAUGGGAGAUUGAUAAAUAGAGUCAAUGACUGUCUGAAUGAAGGGAGUAUGAGGAAGGGUCCAAAGCUUAUGGAGGCAAGCCAGGCGAAUCUCGUUCCACAGAAAGUCGGCCAUGUCAAUGGGACAGUUGGGAGCUUUUCGAGAAUAGUACAUUAAGUCAAUGAUGUAGGCCUGAACCAUUCCACGACCCCUUUUCUUGGGAGCAAUGGAGUUAAGGACACACUGGAAAAACCACCGGUAUUUGGAAUGUAAGAGAGGGAUAUCAUUUAGUUCCUUCCCUUUCUGCAUCGUGGUCAUUUGAUAAGGGGGGUUGACAAUACAACCACACACACUAAUGGGCAUGGCUUCAAACUUUGAAUUGACCGCAUGUAUCCUAAAGAGGUUAGCGUCAGAGCCAAUCAUCCCCAAAGCACCAACAAACUCCUCGAAGGUGACAGUAAACAGAGAGUGAUGAGUCAUCCAAGUGAUGGAGCGAUCCGGAUGGAAGAAACAUGUGGCAUAGAAUUGGCGAAUGGCAGCCUCAUUCCAAUCACAAUGAAGAGUCAUGGCUUGACGCAGCCCCAUGCUAUCAAUCUUCUCCAGAACACCUUAAAACCUCACAAAGUUUGCCUCGAUGAAUGCCAGGUCCACAUGGUGUUGGGGAGAGAACCCAAGGGGAGCAAUUACGGAUUGAUAGAUGUCUUGCCGAGUCAAUGUACGAAAACAAGGAUCGGUGGCAUUUUUAGGAGCAGUAAAUUGAUUGACCUCACUCCUUAAUGCAGAGUAAUGGGAGGGCUCAAAGGAGCGAAAAUCAAUGGGACAGUGACCAUGCUUCGAGGGGGUGGCCAUGGACAGAACCAAACCCGCAGUGGGACCACACUGAGAACUUGAGCUAGUGGAUGCUAUCUUCCUCUUUAAUUUUGUCUUGGAACGAUCACACACAAGUUCCUCGUCCUGGAUAUCAGGCACAAAAUCGGGGUCAUCAAGCCCCACAUAGGAAGGACGUGCACGACCCAACGCCUUCUUGAGAGGACGAGCAGAAUCUUCGGAGUCCGUUGAGCCCGAAGGACCCGCAGCUGCAAUUACGAAUAGUACAAGGCCAUACUAUGAAUACGAGACCCUAGACGUACAAGCGAUUGCAAGGAAUCGAAAAUUAAUGGAAAAGGAAGAAGUAGUACCACGAGAGGGGCCCGUGGUCGUCUUCUUGACAUGCCCGCCACCUCCACUGCCUCCGACCACUAUGGCUGCUCCCCGGAGCAGAGGAGCGAGGUAGUAGGAGAGGGAGGGAACACACGGAGAGACUACGACACCACAGAGAUCGGGGGAAGGAGAGAUCCGAGCACGGAGCAAAGGGGCGGCCGGGCUGGCUGUAGCGGCCAUGGAGGACCACCAGUGGCGCAUGAGCCGUCGAGACGAGGGUGAGAUGUGGAAGAAAGAAGAUAGAUGGAUAACCUGCUGUCCCUCCCCUGUUAUCUUCUUUUCAGUUGCCAACGUGGGCUGACCCGGAUGUAUCGAAGACGCCCUGGAUGUUCGGAACUAGUCCCGUAUAUCUGGGCAAGGCAUGUUGGGGAGGAGCAGGCUAUGACAGUUCUAGUCACCUUGGAUGGAUAGCAAUGGAAAUAAAUGAGUUAUCCUAGGAGAGUAAGUGAGAGUUAACAGCAUGUCUUGGCAUGGGCAUGAUGAAUUUCAGCAUAUAUAUCAUUACAAAUAGGACUAAAACAAUCAAUGAUGUCUUCAAAUGAGAUAACUUUCUAAGAUUUCUCGUAAGAGGGGUGGCAUGACCACCAUGUUUGAGCUAAGGUGGCAUGAGCCGACGAGGAUAUGAACCUUGACCCAUUGCCACCACUCCAUCAUUUAAAGUACCAAGUCACAAAUUGAUCAGUAACUUUGAGAGUGUUUGGUUGAUUUAUGCAUCAGAUAGGGUGAGAGAACUCAUGAACUGAGUGUCUCCCACUAGAUAAAUGCAUACAUCUAGAUAGGACAUGACAUAACUCUAUGCAUGUGUGCAAAAUUUCACAUGAUGUUGUCAAGUUCCAAGAUACCAAGUUCACACCUAUGUUGACAGAACCUACGUUCAUCUAGUGUGGUUUGGUGAAAAUAUCAGCAAGUUGCAUAACCGUACCAACAUGAGCAAUGUCAAUAUCACCCUUUUGCAUAUGGUAUCUUAAGAAGUGAUAUCGGAUGUCAAUGUGCUUGGUGUGAGAGUGAUCACUAGGGUUUUCAGCAAUCUUGAUGGCACUUUCAUUGUCGCAUAGUAGAGGCACAUGUGCGUAGGUCCAUAGUCCUUCAAAGUUUGCCUCAUCCAUAGCAAUUGUGUUGGACAACUUGCAGUUGCAAUAUAUUCGGCUUCAGCAGUGGGCAGGGAGACACAAUUUUGCUUCUUCGAGGACCAAUUUACCAAGAAGCGUCGAAGAAACUGACAUGUCCCGAAGGUGGACUUUCUGCCCACCUUAUCUCCGGCCCAAUCUGCAUCUGUGUACCCAAUAAGAUCAAACUUGGCAUCGUUGGGGUACCAUAGAACCAACCUUGGGGUGUGAACAAGGUAUCUGAGAAUAUGCUUAACAACCUUAUAAUGGCUUUCCUUAGGGGAAACUUAAAAUCGAGCACAAAUGCCUACACUUGACGUGAUGUCUGGCCUAGAUGCACAAAGGUAAAGCAAUGAUCCAAUAAUAGAGUGGUAAAUAGAUUGGUCAAAUGGAAUACCUUUUGUGUCUUCGUUAAGAGCAGUUGUGGUUGGCAUGGGUACCUUGCAUGGACUCGCGUUUGUCAUGCCGAACUUCACAAGAAUAUCCUUUAGAUGCUUAGUUUGAGACUGAAAAAUUCCUUCCCUACAUUGUUGGAUUUGAAAACCGAGAAAGAUCUUCAAAUCCGCAUUCAGUGACAUCUCAAAGUUCUUUGUCAUGGAAUACGCCAACUUCUUGCAUAAAUGGAUGUUAGGGGAACCAAAAAUGAUAUCAUCUACGUAAAUUUUACACAAGAUAAAAUCACCUUUUCCCCUCUUAGUGAAGAUUGUAGGGUCAAUCACCCCUCUCACAAAACCAUCAUCGAGUAGAAACUUCUUAAGAUGAUCAUACCAAGUGUAAGUGCAUUUAGUGCCCUUAGUGUUUUUGGUGGUUUGAAAACUUAUAGGUUAAGUAACUAAUGUGUUUAUAAGUGUACACGGGCUCUAUAAGUCGCUGAGGAGUUUUAGUUAUACGAUGAAUAUCGACUAUUGGGGAGUGUUGCAUGGGAAACAAAAAAAUUCCUACGCACACGAAGACCUAUCAUGGUGAUGAUCAUCUAUGAGAGGGAGAUCGGAUCCACAUACCCUUGUAUAUUGCUAAGCGUAAGCGUUAAUAAACGUGGUUGAUGUAGUGGUACGUCUUCACGAUCCGUCCCGUGAACCGUCCCACGAACCGUCUCACGAUCCGUCCCGAUCAAGUGCCGAACGGACGAGACCUCCGCAUUCCGCACACAUACAACUCAAUGACGAUCUCCGCCUUCUUGAUCCAACAAGAGGGACCGGAGAGGUAGAUGAGUUCUCCAGCACGGCGGCGUGGUGGUGGUGCUAUUCCAGCAGGGCUUCGCCUAAGCACCGCUGAAACUAGAGGAGAAAUAGAUCUAGAGAGAGAGGGCAACACGUGGCUGUUUUCUGUUGUGCCUAAAACCCUCAAAACCCUUAGUAUAUAUAGGAGGAGAGGAGGGAGAGGGUUGCGCCCUAGGGCUGCCUCUUUGAUCCCUUGCGCAAGGGAGAGGAGGAGGAGUCCUACUCCAAUCCUAUUUCGAGUAGGAUUCCUCCUUCUCACUUGGAAACUCUUUCCACCUUGUUUUUUUACUUCUCAAACCUUAUGGGCCUUAGUGGGAACUUAUUCCAGCCCACUAGGGGCUGGUUUAUCUCUUCCCACAGCCCAUGAGGCCCCUUGGGGCGUGACACCCCUCCCGAUGGUCCCCGGCACCCCUCCCGGCACUCCCGGUACACUAUCGAUGAGCCCAAAGCUUUUCCGGUGAACAAAACAGGACUUCCUAUAUAUCAAUCUUCGUUUCCGGACCAUUCUGGAAACCCUCUUGAUGUCCGGGAUCUCAUCCGGGACUCCGAAAAACCUUAGGUCACCAACACAUAUAACUCAACUAUAUCGAAACGUCACGGAACCUUAAGUGUGCACACCCUGCGGGUUCGAGAACUAUGCAGACAUGACCUGAGACACUCCCCGGUCAAUAACCAAUAGCGGGACCUGGAUGUCCAUAUUGGCUCCUACAUAUUCUACGAAGAUCUCUAUCGGUUGAACCUCUAUGCCAAGGAUUCAUAUAAUCCCGUAUACCAUUCCCUUUGUCCUUCGGUAUGAUACUUGCCCGAGAUUCGAUCGUCGGUAUCUCCAUACCUAGUUCAAUCUCGCUACCGACAAGUCUCUUUACUCAUUACAUAAUACAAGAUCCCGUAACUAAUUCCUUAGUCACAUUUCUUGCAAGGCUUGUUGUCAUGUUGUAUUACUGAGUGGGCCCCGAGAUACCUCUCCGUCACACGGAGUGACAAAUCCCAGUCUUGAUCCAUGCCAACCCAACAGACACCUUUGGAGAUACCUGUAGAGCACCUUUAUAGUCACCCAGUUACGUUGCGACGUUUGAUAACCCACAAGGUAUUCCUCCGGUGUCCUGGAGUUGCAUGAUUUCAUGGUCAUAGGAACAGAUACAUUGACAUGCAGAAAACAGUAGCAAUAAACUGACACAAUCAUAUACUACGUUUAUAGUUUGGGUCUUGUCCAUCACAUCAUUCUCCCAAUGAUGUGAUACUGUUAUCAAGUGACAACACUUGCCUAUGGUCAAGAAACCUUGACCAUCUUUGAGCAACGAACUAGUCAACUAGAGGCUCACUAGGGACAGUGUGUUGUCUAUGUAUCCACACAUGUAUUUGAUUUUCCAAUCAAUACAAUUCUAACAUGGAUAAUAAACGAUCAUUAUGAAUAAGGAAAUAUAAUAAUAACUAAUUUAUUAUUGCCUCUAGGGCAUAUUUCCAAAAGUCUCCCACUUUCACUAGAGUCAAUAAUCUAGUUCACAUCACUAUGUGAUUGUAAUGAAUCUAACACCCAUACAGUUCUGGGGUUCGAUCAUGUCUUGCUUGUGAGAGAGGUUUUAGUCAACGGUUCUGAACCUUUCAGAUUCGUGUGUGCUUUACAAAUCUUUAUGUCAUCCUAUAGAUGCUGCUACUACGUGUUAUUUGGAAAUAUUCCAAAUGACUACUCUACUAUACGAAUCCGGUUUAUUACUCAGAGUUAUUCGGAUUAGUGUCAAAUCUUGCAUAGACAUAACCCUUUACGACGAACUCUUUAAUCACCUCCAUAAUCGAGAAAAAUUCCUUUGUCCAUUAGUUACUAAGGAUAGCUUUGACCGCUGUUCAGUGAUUCAAUCCUGGAUCACCCUUUGUACCCCUUGACAGACUUAUGGUAAGGCACACAUCAGGUGCGGUACACAACAUGGCAUACUUUAGAGACUAUGGCUAAGGCAUAGGGGACGACCUUCAUCCUUUCUCUUUCUUCUUCCAUGGUCGGGGUUUGAGUCUAACUCAAAUUCACACCUUACAACACAGCCAAGAACUCCUUCUUUGCUGAUCUAUUUUGAACUCCUUCAAAAACUUGUCAAUGCAUGCAUUUCAUUGAAAGUUCUAUUUAGCGUUUUGAUCUAUCUCUAUAGAUCUUGAUGCUCAAUAUUCAAGUAUCUCUAUCGAGGUUUUCCUUUAAAAAACUCCUUUCAAACAACCCUUAAUGCUUUCUAGAAAUUCUACAUUACUUCCGAUCAACAAUAUGUCAACCACAUAUACUUAUCAGAAAUUCUAUAGUGCUCCCACUCACUUCUUUGGAAACACAAGUUUCUCAUAAACCUUGUAUAAACCCAAAAGCUUUGAUCAUCUCAUCAAAGCGUAUAUUGCAACUCUAAGAUGCUUGCACCAGUCCAUAGAAGGAUCGCUGGAGCUUGCAUACUUGUUAGCAUCCUUAGGAUCCACAAAACCUUCUGGUUGUAUCACAUACAACCUUUCCUCUAGGAAACCGUCGAGGAAACAAUGUUUUGACAUCCUAUGUGCAAUAUUUCAUAAAUAAUGCAGCAACUGCUAACAUAAUUCCAACAGACUUUUAGCAUCGCUACGAGUGAGAAAGUCUCAUCAUAGUCAACUCUUUGAACUUAUCGGAAACAUCUUUGCGAUAAGUCGAGCUUUUCUUAAUGGUGAAUUUUCACCAUCAUCGUCUGUCUUCCUUUUAAAGAUCCAUAUGUACUUAAUAGUCUUACGACCAUCAAGUAGUUCUUCCAAAGUCCACACUUUGUUUUAUACACGGAUCCUCUCUCGGAUUUCAUGGCCUCCAGCCAUUUGUCGGAAUCCGGCCCACCAUCGCUUCUCCAUAGCUCGUAGGUUCAUUGUUGUUCAACAACAUGACCUCCAAGACAGGGUUACCGUACCACUCUGUAGUAGUACGCGACCUUGUCGACCUACGAGGUUUGUAGUAACUUGAUCCAAAGCUUAAUGAUCACCAUCAUCAGUUUCCACUUCAAUUGGUGUAGGCGCCACACGAACAACUUUCCGCGCCCUGCUACACACUGGUUGAAGUGACGGUUCAAUAACCUCAUCAAGUUCCACCACCCUCCCACUCAAUUCUUUCGAGAGAAACCUUUCCUCAAGAAAGGACCCGUUAUCAAGUGACAACACUUGCCUAUGGUCAAGAAACCUUGACCAUCUUUGAUCAACGAACUAGUCAACUAGAGGAUUACUAGGGACAGUGUGUUGUCUAUGUAUCCACACAUGUAUUUGAGUUUCCAAUCUAUACAAUUCUAGCAUGGAUAAUAAACGAUUAUUAUGAACAAGGAAAUAUAAUAAUAACUAAUUUAUUAUUGCCUCUAGGGCAUAUUUCCCACAUCGACACCUACAAAUGUAUGUCUUCGGCUGAAGAAAUUGGUCUUAUGUUGAAGACUUUAAUCGCGAAGAAAUUGCGAUGAAAUUGAUAUCCCUCAUGAAGAAAUUGAAGAUGAGGAAUUCGGUGUGUCCUAAAGAAAAACUGCAUGAAGACUUCGAAGCAUGAAUACUUGCUCUUUCUGCUUUGUUUUCUUUAUUGUUGAGUCUUAGGAACACCGUACUGUUAAAGGAGGUCGAGGUAAUACUACGGAAUGAAUUUCCUCAUGAUGCUCAACCCAAGCCUAAACCUACAAAAGCCUCAAGUGAGGAAUAUAAGAGACAUGAGGACUUUCAUAUUUGAAAGUUCCGACCGUUGCCGUGAUACGCGUCACAUCAUCGAUCUUAUCCACACCAACGAUCACAAUAUUUAGGGGCAUUUAUGUCAAAUCAUGUCGGGAUGCUCCUAGACUAUAAAUAGUCACCCCCACAACCACUAGCUCGUUGGCUGCUCCGCAAGAAACUAACACUUGUCAUUUAGAGAAACCCAAAUUCUUAGAGUCUUCGAGAGUAAAUCAUCAGUGAGGAAAUACCCGAAACACCAAACCACAAACCAAAACCAAGUGAUUGAGCAUCACUGAAGAAUUUGUUCCUGUGUGGAACUGAAGCCUUUUACCUUUGAGGAUUGUGCAUUCUCUAGACGGUUAGGCGUCAUGGUCUAGAGCAUCCAGCAGUCAAUUGUGGAUCGUCGGGUGACCGAGUUUGUGAGGGUUUGGAUGUGUGCCGUGAAGACUUACCACGAGUGUUGGGCGAGGACUGUGUGUUCUUAUCUCAAGGAGAAUACGGUAGGGAAUGUGUGUCCCGGGACUGUGUGUCCUUUGGUUUCAAUACCAAGCCACUCCAAACCAGACGUACGACUGUCACAGCAGUUGGAACUGGGUCAUCAACAACCGUCUUCAUUGUGAUACAGAUUCUAUUUCUUCAACUCUUUCAAUUCGUCAAUAUUGUACGUUGAAGACUUUCAUUGUCACUGUUUGAAGAAUUUGCUGAAGACUUCAACUGAAUUUCCUCAACCUCAAAUUCUUCAUACCUGUUAAUCUUCACCUGCUUAUUCUAUGCGUGCAUACUAUGCAAACCGAUUCUCAUAAUCUUCAUCAAGUAAACUGCUGUUGUAAUCUUUGCACCUGUGAUCCUACGCUAUUUCCGCUGCACGUUAUUCAUCAGUGAGGAAUUUCCUCAGCGAUGAAAUUCUAAAAAAUCGCCCAUUCACCCCCUCUAGUCGAUAUAACGCACUUUCAAUUGGUAUCAGAGCAAGGUACUCCCUUGUUCUGUGUGAUUUUGGUUUGACCACUUGGAGUUUUAGUUAUGUCGACUGCGGGUAUGAUCAAGGUUACUGCAUGAUGUCCUACCUUCGAAGGGAAGGACUUCCCCUACUGGAAGACCAAGAUGCAGAUGCAUCUUCAUGCUAUUGACAACGAUCUCUGGUACAUUGUGGAACAUGACGUUCCCUCCAUCGCUGCUACUGUCUCUACCGCUGAUGUGAAGAAAUUCAAGCAACUUGAUUCUCAAGUGAAGAAUAUCAUGUGUGCCAUGUGAGCAAAGGUCAGUAUGGCAGAGUGAGUGCUUUGGGCAUAGGAAGCUUAUUUAGGAUAGGUUGUCCAAAGUCAAUGAAGUAAUUUGAACUUAGCGUGACUCUCGUGUUGAUGUUCUUCGCAAUCUCUUGAAUCGCUUCAAGAGGCUUGACAAUGAAAGCUUCCAAGAUAUAUUUGAUUGCCUCACUGACAUCUCAAAUGAACUGCAAGCACUGGGAGCUCGAGACAUCACUAACCAUGAAGUUGUGAAGAAACUGCUAAGAUCUCUGGAUCCAUCAUUUGAUACACUGGUUGUGAUGAUUCAAGAAAGAGCAGACUAUAAGAUGCUUGAUCCUGCUGAUAUACUCGAAAGACUCAAUACACAUGAAUUCCAACAAGAAGAAAAGAGAGAUAUGUAUGGACCAAGCUACUCUAGACCUCGUGCGCUGAAGGGCAAAGCAAUUUCCCCAUCUGAGGAAGAAGACUCAGAUUGCAGCAUUGGUGAUUCCGAAGAACUUGGACAGGAGCUUGCAAUGCUCGUGAGGAAAUUCCAGAAGUUUACAAGGCGUGACCAGCUUGGUAAAUCUUCAAGAAGAGAUAUGAGGAAAUCAGAAUCUUUAUCUGAGGACUACAAGAAAAGAACCUGCCACAAAUGCAAGAAAUCUGGUCACUAUAUUGCUGAUUGUCCUCACUGGGUGAAGGAAUCAAAGAAGAAGAAAUACAAGGAUGAAAGUUCUGAUGACUCGAAGAAAAAGAAGAAAUCUUCAAAAUCCUCAUCCUCAAAGUCCUCAUCGCACAAGAAUCUGAGGAAUGUGAUGAAGAGGAAGGUUCUGAAGAAGACUCAGAGUUUGGUGUGGUAAGUCUUGCACUGGCUACCACAUUCGUCAGCAAGUCAAUCUUCAACCUUGAAGAAAACGACAACACUAUCUACACUGAUGACUAUGCUGAUGACUUCGCUCCAACCUAUUGCUUCAUGGCAAAAGAUUCAAAGGUACAGAAUGACACUUCCUCCUCUGAUUCAAGUGACUGUGAACCUGAUGGUUAUAAAAAACCCAGUUACAGUAAACUUGCCAACAUUGUAACUAAACAAGAAAGUGCCAUUGAAAAGCUUCAAAAACUGCUAGACAGAAGCGAUGACCUAUUUAAUGAUGAAAUGAAUCAUACUCAAAUCCUCACCGAAGAUGUGAAAAGUCUUCAGUCCAGAUUUGAUAGUCUUCAAGAUCGUUAUGGCACACUCUUGGCUGAUCAUGAGAAACUUUCCUAUGAAUUUCUUCAAAGGAAACUUGAUCUUGAGAAGUUGAAGAUGUCUCAUGAUGAUCUUCGAAUGGAAAACGAUUCAUUACUUGCUCAACAGAUCAGUGCCGCUCAAGUUGAAUUCACUCCAUCAUGUCUAAAAUGCAUCGAGCGUGAAACUGCCAAUUCUUCACCAGAAUCAUCAAAUGCUUCUAUUGCUACAAAUUCUUCAACUGCUCAUUUGGUAACGAAUUCCUCACUUGAGGAAACCAUAAAUGUUACUGAUGAAAAUGCAGGACUGAAGGAAUUGUAUGUGACAGGCAUGUACAAAAGUCUCAAAUGGCAUCAAACCCUUUGCAAUGUGCUCAAAAAGAAGAUUUUGAACAGGAACCCGAGGAAAGAAGGAAUUGCCUUUGAAAGGAAACUGAAUGCUGAUGGAUCAUACUGGAAACCUGAGCAUUACCCCAAAACCUCAUGGGUUGCUGCUAAAGGUCCUCCUGUUGAUCCAUCCAAUCUAACAGGCUUUGCAUGUGAAUUAUCCUAUUACUCAGAUGAGUCAUUUGACUCCAACUAUAAACUAUUCAAAAAUCAAUCUGGUGAAGUAUUUGCUCGAUAUGUUGGAACUAACUAUAGGAAUGGACCACCCCUGGGGAACAUCGGGGUCCCCAAAAGUUGCUUGGAAAAUCUUCAGGUGAAUGUCCUCAUGACACCACCAGUGAAGAACCUGAACUCCGGAUCAAAUUCUUCAGGUGGACCAAAGUCUUCAAGAGGAUCAAAAUCCUCAACUGGUCAAAACUAUACUCAUACUCGUGCUAAUGCUUAUGAUAUGCAAGGAAAUUACAAGGAAUAUAAAUAUGAGCAUUAUACCUCAAAUCAUUAUGUUCAUAAAUCCUUAAAGAACUUCUCUGCCUAUUCAUCUAAGUACUCUAACCCCCUACUGUGAAGAGAAGUGCAUUAGCUUUAAUGCCCCCUUUCUCAUAUGGUGCUCGCAGGAUGAUGAACUUUUUGCCACCCCUUCAGAUGUGGGUGGUGAAGAACUUGAACUAAUCACUUCUGCAAGUCAGGUCUCCAGAUGAAAACCAUCUUCUGAAGAUUUUGCUCGAGACCUAAGGAAAAUGCUUGAGUGGACGCAAGCUAGAAUUAAUGAAAUGAUAGCAUUUCACACGUCCUCAAAUUUACUGUUUAUGAUGAAAUUCCUAUCUGAUGAAACUGAUAUCAUAUUCUUCAAGUCUGAAGCAUAUGAGAUGGUAAGCUGUACUAAUUCAUCUGCAGGAUGACAAACCCAAGAGUACUGAGUGGGUUCUUGACAGUGGUUGCACAAAUCGCAUGAUUGGUGAUAAAAGCUUGCUGAUGAAUAUGCCACUGACUCCAUCACCACUGAAUGAAAUCACUUAUGCUAACAAAGGUAAAAGCAAGGUAUUGGGACUUGGCAAAGUGGCUAUUUCCAAGGAGAGGCACAUGGACAAAGUGAUGCUUGUCGAAUCCCUUGGGUUUAACCUCAUGUCAGUCUCAAUGCUUUGUGAUCUUGAUAUGGUUGUUAUCUUUGGAUAAUAUAGAUGUGUGGUCAUCAUGGAAUCUGACAGAUCCAAAGUCUUCGAAGGCUUUAGGAGAGGAGAUUUGUACAUUGUUGAUUUUUCCACAGGUCCUCAACCAGCCACAUGCUUAUUAGCAAAAACCUCAGAAGGCUGGCUAUGGCAUCGAUGACUUGGUCAGGCAGACAUGAGGAAUUUGCAUACGCUCGCGAAGAAAAAGCAUGUCAUUGGCAUCGAAUCGGUUAAAUUCCUUAAGGACCAUCUCUGCGGUGCUUGUGAGUCUGAAAAAAUGACCAGAUCCAAACACCCCUCGAAGACUAUCAUGACUACUACUCGUCCGUUUGAAUUACUUCACAUGGAUCUAUUUGGACCUACUCAUUAUGCUACUCUAACCAAUGCAACAUCCUUACAUGGCUUUGUCAUCGUUGAUGACUAUUCUCGAUAUACUUGGGUACAUAUCAUUCUGUCUAAAACUGAAGUGCUGGAAGUCUUCAAACAAUUUUCCUCAAGGGCGUCGACG
RNAcentral lists this long non-coding RNA (64771 nucleotides) under Hordeum vulgare. RNAcentral describes it as "long non-coding RNA (HVUL_LNC006013)". The record is from RNAcentral. Lineage: Eukaryota; Viridiplantae; Streptophyta; Magnoliopsida; Poales; Poaceae.